UUAAUGAGAUAUAAUAAUAAUAAUAAUAAUAAUAAUAAUAAUUUCAGUGAAGAGUCUUCUAUAACGCCUCAUUAAAAAUGCUCUGAUCUGCUACCACGUAUUAAUUUUGGUUUCAUCCAAGAAUUCGUAAGAUGUUUUUCAAUACUAAAAUCUUUAAAAAAGAAAAAUUCAUCCUACAGAUGACAAUCGAUUGAAAGCUUUUCAAUGAGGUCUCUCCACCAAAGAUUUUCCCCCAAAACCCUUAUGGCAUGUGCUCAGUUUGAUUCUAUUUUAAAGUAGAACAUUUACUAGGAUUCUAGUCAAUAAGGAAAUCUGACACUGAUAACAUGCUUUUUCACUGCCAAAUUAGGCUACAUCAAUCAAAUUCCAGGGAAAACCACUAUUUUCAAAAUUACUUUAACAAACAAAACUGUUACAUUAUCUCACUAGACUCAAUCCAACUGUAUCAGCACUACAGGAUCUACCAAGAAAAGUGAAAAGGAAAGAGAAAAAAGGUCAUAUGGCUAUACACAAAUAUAUGCAUCUUUCUCCGCAAUUUACAGACUGUUAACGCCGCACAUGGUUAACGGAAGUCGACAUCCUUUGUUGAUCCACCCCCAGUGAAUGAGAAGAUGAAUUCAACCACAUAUUAUGGACAUUUUGGUGAUUUAAUUCAACAAAAGUCGCGGGAUUUUCAAACAAGGUAGACCAUCCCCACCUCCAGAGUAGAAGCAUGAGGUAUUGUAGCAGCAUAAGCAGGACCUCUGCUAUUCCUCCUCAAGAAUUCGUAGCCGAAGUUGAUUGCGAUCCGCUUUAUAAAACUAGACCCGCUCUUUGCUCUCAUGUACGAGUGCCCGAGUAUAAAGGCCAUUCCAGCCUCUCUCGCCUCCGUCAGCUCUUGUAACUCCUCGCGCGCCGCGAUGUCUAGUUGAGGGCUCUUGGGUAACAAAAACCUCACUCUUUUCCUUUUCGGGAAUAUAAUUGGAGAUUUUAUUUCCUUUUGAUCGGACGGUCCGGGUGGCUCGUUCAACUCACAAUCCUCCUCGAAUAACCGGACCGGCGUCCCAACAACCGGCAUUUUCCCACAAGGCUCCUCGAUCUCUUCCAAAUUGUCGUGGUCGGGUCCUCCGGAACGGACGAACUCCGCAAUGCUGCUGACUAGAUCCUUCUCGAACUCCAGGUCGUCCUUCUGCACGUCUCGAUAGCCGUACAUUACGAUAACCCUGUAGAUCCUAUAGUCUUUCGGGCCAAUGCGGCCCACGACGAAGCGCUCCUCGGGUUGGACGUGGGGCACCGGGAUGGACUUCACACAGAGGAAGACGAGAACCUAGAGAAGAUUAAAAAAUAUGAAAAAAAAAAAAGAAGAACAUUUCUAAUCAAAUUAAAAGAGAGGUUACUUACAAACUCAGUCCCUACAAUCCGGUCCCAACUUCACAGACUAAGUUUGUACCGAGCCCUCGAAAGAAAAUUUAUGGUUUUAUACCUGAUGAAAUGCAGGUAGGUUGGUGACAAAGUGGGAGAAGAUGGCGGGAAUUCCUGACACUAGCUCCGUGUGUAUGAGACCGAUGCCUCGCACACGAACAAUCCCAAGGGAAGGCCCAAGGUUGAGGAGCCAACCUAUCGAAACCCUGUUUUGCACGUCGAACUCGUACUUCUUGAGGGUGCCGUAAUGCCACGUGUACAUGAUCGUCAUGAAGAUGAAGGAAAGGGCAAUCGGGACCCAUGCCCCUUCUAGAAACUUGAUCAAGGAAGCCGAGAAGUAGAAGGCUUCGAUAGCUCCAAAGAAGAGGAGGAAGCAUAGGGCGAAGAAGAUGCUCCUGUGCCAGCACAGGACUAUCACUAAGGACAUCAAGCACGUGGUAACCAACAUGACGGUUAUAACUGCCAAUCCUGCAAAAGAAAAUUGUAAAUCACGCGGUGGUAAAUUGCUCUACAUUUCAUCGCGCUGUUAACUACAAAAUCGUUGCAAAGAGCAACACAGUUAAAUACAUUUGAGGAGAGUAGCUAAAACAAACCAAAACAUUACCUGAUGCAUUUCCCAACCGCUUUGUGUCUCUGAAGCCAAUAGUAACGGCAAGGCACAAUAUCAUCAAGAUCCAGUUGAUCUCCGGGAUGUAUAUUUGCCCGUGUACCUUGGACGACGUAUGCACUAUCUUCACCCUGGGAAAGCAACUUAAGGCGGAGCACUGCUUGAUAAUUGAGAAGGUGCCGGUUAUAACCGCUUGGCUACCCACCACCGCCGCAAGUAUAGCAAUCGCCAGGACCGGCCAUCUGAUUUGUUCUAGAAGGAGAAUUUCAUAAACGUAAGCGCAUUAUGGAAAUAAAGCCAUUAUUAAGCACAUUAUGUUUUCUACAUAUUGAAGAAGUACCUGGCACGGACACAUAGAAGCCAAUUCUGUAGCUGCUUUCGAUGGCGUGGUGUUGCGAGAGAUAAGCAGCCUGACCCAUGUAUGCUAGGAUAAGGGCUGGAUAGACCACGGAAGUAAAUGCGAGCUGCAGAAAAGCCACUACAGUUUGUCAAAUAAGCUAGCUUACUAUCCGAAAUGGAGCACGAAGAAGCAGGAUUUCUCAAGCUAGUAAAGAACAAGGAUUCGUUUCGAAAGUAGCAAUUUAGAUACCAACCCAGCUUAGCAUCAUUUGCAUAUUUGAAGACGUGAAUUGCAGGAAUUGAAAGAGGUAUGUUCUCAGAUAUCUGUUCUGAUGAGGUUGUAAUCAUUAAGUUCCAGAAUGACCCAGGUGGUCGGGUUUACUUUAGGAGGCAAAGAUAAAGAAUACAUGGAAAUGUAUAUAAGAAAGCUAUCAGCGGGUAUACUUAAAAUUUGAAGAACAGCGGAAUUCUUGUUUAAUUUGACUCAGAAAAACAAAGAGUUCUGUAUCAGAAGAACGAAAGUGCUAUCACCAUCUCAUACCUUUAUCGAUGACUGAGAGAAGUGUCCUAGAUCUGCAUACAUAGCUUCAGAUCCUGAGGGGGAAGAAAAGAAAAGAUCAUGUAUCAUAUUCACGUGAAUCUACCAUGUUGACAAACAAACGAUUCCUAGAUACCUGUUAUGCAGAGAAGUAUACCGCCUAGCGACAUCCAGCCGCCUCUUCGGGUCUUCUUCAGAAAAUUGUACAUGUAGUAUGGCGAGAGGGCUCGGUAUACACGAGGGUUCCAGUGAAUAAUGUUGUAGGCACCGAUGCCGCUGAUACACAGAAGCCAAGCGACGACGAUCGGUGCGAAUAAAAACCCUACUCUGUGGGUGCCGUAAUGUUGCAGGGCAAACAAGCCAACCAAUAUGACACAUGCCACAGGAACCUCGACAUCUGCAUAUCAAUAGGCCUCUUAAAGAUUACUAGCAUAAAUUGUACCAUAAAAUAGAUGAUCUACGAGAGUUUACUGCCGCAGUUGCGCAUAUGAGCGCAAACAACAAUAUGUUCAUCUAAAUGCUAACACAUGGCCAUACUAGCCGGCAUAACAAAUCAAACAAUUGUCGAUGCUCGCACGAAACUUUACCACUAUUUUGUAAGUCUAAAUAAAUGAUAAUAAUAACCAAAGAGCAGAACUUUCUCUUACAUUUGUGCUGCUCCUUCUCCAUGGAGAGCUCGAGUCCUGAGACCGCCGAGAAAACUGCGCACCGCAGAGAAUUAUUUCGCCGCAAAAUUAGAUCAAGACCGAGAACAGGAAGGAACUACACAGAGAAUCAAAUAAACAGGGCACGAACCGGAGACCGCGGGAGUAAGCACACCAUCACCGAUCACCAUACAAGUCCCAAGCAGCGCAAAGAUCAACAGCAGCCUCUGAAGCACCUGGUGCUUCUCCAGCAUCGUCCUAACUCUAGAAGCGGCCGAGGCGGAGCCAUUCGGAGCAUUCGCCGCGCACGACGCCGCCGCCGCCGCCGCCACGGCGUCCUCGCAAUCGGCGGGGCGGGCGCCGGGGACGAAUCCGAUGCCGGCGCGGCGGCAAAUGAGGGAGUAGAGCGCAAAGGUGCCGCCUUCGCCAUUGUCGUCGGCGCGGAGGACGACGAACACGUACUUAAAAAGGGGGAUUAGGGUUAGGGUCCAGAAGACGAAGGAGAGCACCCCGUAGAUCUCGUCGUUGGUCUCCGAGUGCUCGAUGUCGCCCCCCGAGAAGGCGCUCUUGUACACGUAGAGCGGCGACGUGCUCAAAUCGCCGUAGACGACGCCGAGGCUCUGGUACGCGAGAGCAAACGCCGCUCGCCAUGAAUUCACCCUCUGCGACCAACAAUAACCGGUUCAAGAUCCCACCUUUACCGAUAAUAACCGCAAGAAUAGCGAGAAUAAGCAAUACCCAUUUCGUUCCACACCUUGUCGGGCUCGCCGGAGCCCCCGCGCUCGACGUCCAUGGCUCGACUCGGAGUUACAGCCCCAAAGCACGCACCUUUCGCCUCUUCAUGAAGGGAAACAGGGGAGGGGAGUGUGGGGAGUGUAGGGAGAGCGGAGGCGGAGGCGGAGGCAACGAAGGGGGAGGAUGUGGAGCUUCCACAGAGAUAUUCGGGGAAAGAGGAGAUUAAAAUAAUGGGUGGGGAGGUAGAGAUAAAAAUGGCUUCUUUCUCCUUUGGUUGCUUUCACCACCUCUGUAUCUUAUGGACACAAACAUAAAUGGCUUUUCGUCCUAUUCAGCAGGAAUGGAAGUAGAAGAAACAGUUUCUGGGAGCUUCUGUAGAGAGAGGGAGAGAGAGAGAGAGAGAGAGAGAGAGAGAGAGUUAUUUGGUAGUAUUAUGAAGGGUGCAGUAGAGGUGUAGAUGAUAUAUAGAGUGUGGGUGACUUUUUACUUUUGUGGGGGAGUGAAAGAGAGAGAAACAGGUAGAGGGGAUUGUUUAUGUGUUAUAUAAGGCAAGUUGAUAGGUGGUGUCCCUUUUACUAUUAUUUCUGUUAGUGCUCUGAGGUACUUAUCAUCAAAAGCCAAAAAAAGGUUUUGUACUAAAAAAAAAGCUUCAAAAUAAAACACAUAAAAAUGACAUUGGGAUUGGGUGUUGAUUAUUUCUCUUCUCAAAUUAGCCUCCUCUUAAGAUUCCAUCAUCAGAAAGGAUAGCUUUAUCUUCUUCUUAACAUGUUUAAAGUAUUAUUUCUUCAAAUGAGUAAAGGUUUAGACACAUUAAUAUCAAACAUUCAGUUAAUGAUUAGUGGUCACAACGUAUGUAUCGCGUAGCACUCUUUGUGUUCAUGCAUCAUCCACUUUACUUUUUUGCAGUGAAUCUUUUCUCUAAAGAAAUCAAACCUUUGUUGCUCUAAAGAGAAAUGAAAACUAAGAGGUUUGACUUUAUUUUGACAAAUAAAUAAAAUAAAAACUUAAAAAGAGGGGAAUAAAAAAAAAAAGCUAAAUUAUAAAAAAUUUUCUGUCAAUAUCCGUUUUUUUUUUUAUUUUUCCCUCCUGUUAUUCAAAAAUCUAUACUUUACCGGUUUAUCUUUUUAAAAAAUAAAAAUAUUUACAGGAGAGUACGUUGUGACAAAAUGACCAAAUUAUUUUUUAUCAGACGGAGAGGUGGGCGAGAGUGAGGGUGGGGCGGUGGAGGCGAGCGAAGGCGUGUGUGUGUGGGCAUAGACAGAGAGAGAUGGGCGAAGGCAAGGCAGCGGAGGACGAGGCGGCAUGGCGGAGGGCGAGGUGGCGCGGCCAAGAAUGAAGAAGAAUGAGGAUUUCAGAAAUAUUUUGGGUAUAAAAAAUAUGAUAUAAAUGGAACAGUGCCGGCGAGGGUCAAAAUAAAUUGUGUAGGCUUUUGAAUGACAAGAAGAAAAAAAAAAAUAUAUUGACAAAAAAAAUUUUCUGUAAUUUAGCCAAUAAAAAAAAUAAUGCUAGUGGAUAUGCGAAUAUUGUUCUCUGCAAUGAAAAGUAAGGAAGAGGAUAAGAAAGGAUCUUGAGAGCCAGCGAAGGAAACAGGAAAAGUGUAUGCAUCCACCAACACAUGGACUUAGAAAACGAAAGCAUGAGAAGUGGUGUGUGUGUGUAGUGGUUCCAACAUGUUCCUUUUUUUUUUAGGUACAUGUUUGAUGGGCAACGCAUCCUGUGCUUAAAGCUACACAAAGAAUGUGCAUGAUGACGUGAAUCCUCCUCCUUUUAUUCCUAUAGAAUAGAAUGUCUCCAAUUAAUUCCUUUUUAAAUGCUAAUGAUUGCGCGCCGCAAUGCUUAGCAUCGAGAGGGAAUCUAAAUUUCGUUAAGAUCGUCGAGAUCGACGAGUGAUCAAAUCGUCGCGGUUUAGGAGAGGGUCGAGAUGGAUGAAGCACUUGCCUCCGCAUUGCUCGCUAUAUCGAGGGAGCUUUUAGAAAACGACAGUGGCUACGACGACAGCGAUGUAAAUGUCGACGAUCUCAAUAGGUGGAUGGCUGAGUUGAGGGAGAUAGUAAUCGGCGUUAAGCCCCAGAAUUUGGGUGCAAAGUAUAUGGACGACGAAACUCCAUGGUGGUCGGUAACAUGGUCAAGUUGAUUCAAAACGGUUUGAUAUAUAGUAAAGUUACAAGAAGGCCACUAAUGGUCUUUUUAUUUUAAGAAAAAACUUCAAAUAUCAUUUCUGUAUUUUCACACUUUUUUAUUUUAAUACCAUAUGUUUAAAGUGUGUUAAUUUAGCAUCUGGCAGCGGUGAUUUCAUUUUUCUCUUUUUAUUAUCUCUUGCACUAAUUUUUCAUUAAAUCAACGACAAAGUUAAAACUGAAAGAUAUUAAAGUGAAUGUUCAAUAAAUCUAGUUGAGUAUCUGAAGUUUUUGUAUAUAUAAUUUAACGAAAUGUUAACAGAGAAGGUUAUGAAAAGAGAAAAAUAAAACCGCAGAGUAUUAAACUGAUAUAUUUUACACAACAGGAUAUUAAAAUGAGAAAGUGCGAAACAACAUGAUGGUAUUUAAAGUUUACCCUUAUUUUUAUUUUUUGUCGUAUGCACAAUUGGAUAAUUUAUAAUGGAAUUAUACAUUGAAGUAUGAACAGCAUCAUCAACAAAAUAAUCCUAAUUCUUAACCCGAAUCAAAACAUAAUCCCAUCUAAUUUAGAGUGGUAGGUUGUUCAUUUGUCUUGUUCUCCUUUAGGGGGUAGUUGAACCUACAAAAUGUGGUGCGUCUUGAGCACAUUUUAGUUUUACUAUUUCAUGCUUUAAUUGUGAGCCAUUUAUAUGUGAUUCCAACUCACUUGUUCUUGUGACGCAUUAAUUGCAAGUGUGGCCGCCUAACUUCAAAUUCUAUACAUUUAAAAUCACAAAAUUGGGAAAUUAAUUUAUAAGAAAAAUUACUUUUCAUUAUAGCAAUUGUAGCAAAUAAAUACUGAUUAAUUACUCUUUGUAACCGAGUAUGGAAUCAAUAACUCAACUUCACCUUAGGAUCAAUGUGUUAUCCGGAUGCAUCCGUUUUAAUACUUUUGAAAAACAGUGUGCUCGUUCUUUUAGAAGAUGCCUCUUACGGCAGACAAUCUGCUCAAGAGAGGAUGGACGAGAAAAACAGAUUAUGUGCUGUGAGGGAUGGAAUAGAAAACUGUGAAUCAUUUAUCCAGGUAAUGUGUUUUUAAUAAAUUUCUUUUCAUGAAGGCCUAGGAGGGGAUCCAAUUUAUAAAUUUAGGAGAUGAUGUGAUUACCGUAUGGAAUAAGUGGUUAUCAAGGAAUAAAUCACAGCAAGCUUGUACUAGACCGAGCGGGCUGAUAGCCUACUGGUGGGUCAUUUGGAAUGUAAAAAAUGGUGCAAUUUUUGAAAAGACUAUAAGAUCAGGUAGUUGAUGACUUCGUGGGAAGAAUUUUUCUUGGCUAAUUAGCUACUUCGCAGACUAUAACUCCAAACAGUAACUGACCCUGCGAGAAUGAUUUUUUUUUCUUUUUUUUUUUUCGACCGAGAUUUAUUAGAUCUUUCCUGUAGUCUAAUUCAUCCUUCUAAUGAAUGAUUUUUGAGAAACAAACCGUCAUUAAAAAAAAAAAAUCGUAGUACUUGUAUAUAAAAGGAUUUAAUUUUUUGUAAAAAAAGCUAAUAUAUCAAAAUAGUUGUAAUUGAAAAAAAAAAAAAAAAACCCCUCUUAUGAAUCACAAUAUGAUUGCUUUUGACACAUUUCCUAGAAGUGGUCCAAAGAAAAUGGGAGAAUUGUUGCAACGCCACAUAUAAACCCAUACAAUUGUUUAUCUUUGCUAACGCCAAAGUCGCAUGUGGGUCAUUUUCUGAAAAGCGCUUUUGAAUUUUGAUCGCAGCUCUUCGCUAUAAACGCAGCGGACAUAAGCGCUUACCCGCUGCAAAAAUUAGGUUUCUGUUAACAUCGUUGCCUCGUUGGACCACGAAGAGGGGGGAGCUUCGUGGCAAACAAAUGGACAUUGUAAUAAUAAUAAUAACGUUAUUAUAUUUUUAUUUUAUUUUAUUUUAUUAUAUAUAUUAUAUUUUGAAUAAAUAGGUCAGAGCACGGAUUUUGACUAAUGAUCCACCAGGGCAAAAGGGAUUAUGGAUGGUAAUCGUAGAUAACACCAUCCGAGAUUCCCAUACAAUCGUAAUCAUAACACGACGUGGAAUUACACAUCGUACGAUCCCAUUGUGGAUUAAUGUGAGCUCGAUCGUCGUUUUUUGACGGGUCAACGUAUUUAUUUAAUUAAUCCCAUAAUUUGUCACAAUUAAUCCCAUGCGACACCAAGACAAAAGUUACACGAGAGGACAAAUUUUUCUUUUUUCUUUUUUUUUUUGUGUGUGUGUUAGGUGGACUAAUAUGAGUCCAAGAAUGUUUAGGCUUAAUUAUACUCUACUGCAUUGCAUUUUAGUAUUAUUUUUAUUUACUAUUUAUUACAUUAUUAUUGUUUAUUGAUAAAUUUAUUUUUAUUUUUCUAUCUCGUAUCAAUUUUUUUCUAAUAUAUAUUACUGGACUCUUUUUUCCCUCAAUCUCUAUAUUACUGUUAAUAAAAUUAUUAUUUUAAAUAAAAUCUAAAGACUUUAUUAAGAAACUCUCAUAAAAUAUAGAAAAAAAAAUAAAAUAAUUCUUUAUGACAGAUAAAUCUUUAUAACAGACUUAUUAAAAGUUUCUAUUGAAUUAUUUUUUUAUUUUUUUAUGUUAAAAUAAGUUGAAUACAUGUAUUGCCACUUUUGACAAGCAUUUUUUAACACAUUUGUUGCGUAUAGUGUAAGAAUUAAAAAAUAACAAUAAUAAUAAGAGGCCAUUAAAUUACUUUUCUUUUAAGUGAGAAACAAGAAUCUGUAAAGUGUAAUAUAGGAGUUUGCGCUUUUUGUUUUCUGGGUUUUUGAUCGAGAUCGACCCAUGUUUCUUUGUUUUGUUCGCCUUACUAGGCUAUUCCUGUAUCCCUUGGUUCUGACUGUGUUAAAAUAGGGUAUAUCUCUGUUUAAUUCAAAAAAAAGAAUCUGUAAAGUAUAAUACAGUAUAGUAUAAUUAAGUCAAUAGAAUAUGGUAUCGUUCUUUCUCAAGCCAUUAAAUUACUUUUCUUUUAAGAAAAUUAUGAGAGGCCUAAGUUAUAAGAGGCAUAAGUUAACCUUGAUAGCUAGAUUUGAGAGACCACAGUAAAUAAAUGGUGUCCAACCUCAUCUUAAUAUAUUGUUAGUUGUUCUUUUGUAGAAGUGGUAAACUUUUUACUACUACGUGGGCAAAAAUAUCCUACACAUUGAACGAUCCGACAGCUCACUGGCAAAAUAAAUGAAUCCGAAAGGUUCAAUCAUGAACAAAACUUUUUAGAAUUUUCUACGUACGAAGUUACGCAUUAGCUCAGUGCAGAAUUUUUUAUAUCUCACUUUUUCAUUUCUUGUCAGAGCAGGGACAAUUUUGACACACCUUCCUCAGCAUCCCUUAAAUCCGUGCGACGGCCCAAAGGAUUAUAUAAAGAAUAAUAAGAUCCUAAGCUACCGUUUGUUUCGGAGUUAAGAAAAAAUUAGUUAUUCCAGAAAUAUGAUUAAAUUUAGGGUUAAGUACGGUUAGAGUAUUUUUGUGUUUGGUUGGAAGUUGGAGUUAGUCCAUGAUAGUGAAAAAUAGUAUUUGGUUGGAGUAGGUGAGAUAAGAAGGAUAGUGGGUUAUUAUGAAUAGAAAAUAGUGUUUGAUUGGGAUUUGGUGUGGUUAGCUAACCCGGAAUAAUCCAUUUUAACUCCACCUAUUUUUAAAAGUGUUUGGAAAUAAAAUGGGGGUUAAGGGGUUAUUCCACUCCUUAACAGAAUAACCCCUUAACCCCCAACCAAACAAUAGCUACGAGCCCAUUGUUCCGAUAAAGCCCAAGCAGUGUAAAAGCCCAGAGACCAAAUAGGCCUUGGCCCCGUACAGUAAUUAAUUGUUGAGCUUAUAUGGGCCCAGGGGCCCAUAAAUCGGUGACACUACACAACUCGUAUAGUGGGCCCAUGAGACCCAACCCAUGUGGAUGUUUGCGAAAACUGGGCCUGCGUCGAUGUGGGUAUAAAUACGAGAGAGGAGGUCGAAGAGACGAUGUGAGCUCCCCCUCUCUCUCUCUCUUCGAGAGCCCUCUUUUGAAGGAGCGAAUCGAACCCUGGUAGAGGAGGAGGAGACGAUUAAAGCUUAAAUCUACUAGGUACUACUCAUCUCCUCUCCUAUACUCCUAUUCUCAUUGUUUGAAACCCUAAUCUCUAAUAAGAAGUUUUGUGGAAACUAGGGUUUUUUUUUUCCCUCGAUUUUAUGCAUAUUUUUAUUAUCUCAUUUUAAUUUUCUUUGGUCUCUGCAAAUUUGGAAUUAAUUUAACAGUUUUUCUGUUAUUUUGAUCUAUUUUUCUCAGGUGAUCUCGCUAAUCUUUGGCGCAGUCACUUUCUCAACACUGAAUUAUGGUUAGUAUUACUUCUUUUUGUUUUUUUUUUCUAAUUAUUUCGCGCUUAAUCCCUUAAAUUAAGCUAAUUAAUGGCUUCAGUUGUAUGUUCUUGUGACCAAUUACUUUUUUUGAGGAUAAAAGAUCAAAUUUCUUGUAGUAACCUCAUAUUUUGUUAUUUGCUCUUCCAUGCGAUUUGGUACUGAAAAUACAAGCGUCGAGCUUAUAGCGAGAGAUUGUGCUACAGUAGUCGAGGAAUUGUUUUUGUUAGCUCGGUAAUGCAGUUUGGGUAUAUAGGAUAACUGCUUAUUUGCUAAAUGAGUCAGAGAUGGCCGAUUAGAGGCUCCGAAUACUGAUGGAGUUAGUGCUUAAUUAUUAGACCUUCUCGUAUCAUAAAUUGCGCGGAAUUUGUUUCUUAUAGUUUCUUCUAUAUGAUGUUAACAUUUCAAAUUUUCCCUGUGGGUAUAUGUUCUUGGUAUGGCUUAUCUAUUAUAAAUUUUCUAUAUGCAGGCUAGUCUUGCUGAUUCCUUCUUAGCCGAUCUCGAUGAACUGUCAGACAAUGAAGAGCACCCUCUUGUGAGUGUCUGUCUCAUUUAUCAUAUUGCAAUGCAUCCUGCAACAUGACAUUCUUGACAUUCUUAAUGCUUUACACUCGAAUCUUACAUAGAACUUAUCUGCCAGGAUGACGAGAAUGCGGAAGCAGGAGAUAUGGAAGAUGAUGGUGAUGAUGAGAUGCCAGAUCUUGAAUCUCUUAACUAUGAGGAUCUUGAUAGUGUUUCGAAAUUGCAGAAGACGCAACGUUACAAUGAUAUCAUGCAAGUAGGUGCAUACAAUCACCAACAAAUUUGAUUUGCUUUUCCAUUUUGCCCAAUGUUCUGCAAUAAUUUCUGACUUAUUUUGGUUAGUUCUUUACUAUUUGCUUCUUUGGAGUUUGGACAAAAUUGUUCAGUGCUUAGUUAAUUUCCUGUUGUUGUUCGUUCAAAGGUCAUUUGGUUUGUCAAUUGCUGUUGCUCAUCUAGUAAGACAGUCGGGGUUCCUAUUAUUGAUAGGAAAUGUUAUCGGUUUUAUCUUUCUGCUGACUUUUGAACUUAGCGAAGUAGGUGGAAUUGUACUUUGUGAAAGUUUACGGCUGUAAUUCUUCUUUUCCUUGACAGAAAGUGGAUGAUGCGCUUCAGAAAGGGUCAGACUUUUCUACCAAUGUGACCAUCUUAGAGGAUGAUCCCGAGUACCAACUAAUCGUCGAUUGCAAUGCCUUAUCGGUAGAUAUCGAAAACGAAAUCAUUAUAAUUCACAAUUUUAUACGUGACAAAUACCGCUUGAAGUUCCCCGAGCUGGAAUCACUGGUUCACCAUCCAAUCGAUUAUGCUCGAGUUGUUAAGAAAAUCGGAAAUGAGAUGGAUUUAACCCUCGUCGAUUUGGAAGGGCUUCUCCCUUCAGCAAUCAUAAUGGUAGUUUCUGUCACAGCAUCAACUACAAGUGGCAAGCCCCUGUCUGAAGAGAACUUACAGAAAACAAUUGAAGCUUGUGAUCGAGCCCUAGCUCUUGAUUUAGCUAAAAAGAAAGUUCUGGAUUUUGUGGAGAGUCGGAUGGGAUACAUCGCGCCAAAUCUCUCUGCUAUCGUCGGUAGUGCAGUUGCAUCUAAGUUAAUGGGGAUAGCUGGUGGCUUGUUAGCAUUAGCGAAAAUGCCAGCUUGUAAUGUUCAGCUUUUGGGGGCAAAGAAGAAAAAUCUAGCCGGCUUUUCUACUGCAACCUCUCAGUUUCGUGUGGGUUAUCUUGAACAAACUGAAAUCUUUCAGAGCACUCCUCCGUCCUUAAGGACUCGCGCUUGUCGACUGUUAGCUGCAAAAUCAACCCUGGCUGCAAGAGUUGACUCGACGAGAGGGGAUCCCACAGGAAAGACCGGAAGGAACUUGCGAGAAGAAAUCCGGAAAAAGAUUGAGAAGUGGCAAGAGCCCCCCCCAGCAAAGCAGCCAAAGCCUUUACCUGUUCCAGAUUCGGAACCUAAGAAGAAGAGAGGAGGCCGCCGACUCCGAAAAACGAAAGAAAGGUAAGCAUUUUUCUUGUGCCACUUUUAUCUUUUGGGAAGUCAGUUUCUGCGGUCAAUUAUUUGAUUUCAUAGCUUGUCUUUUUAACUCCUUUUUGCGCUGGCAAACUUGAAAAUUGACAGAUAUGCUAUCACCGAUAUGCGGAAGCUCGCCAAUCGAAUGCAAUUUGGAGUGCCGGAAGAGAGUUCUUUAGGUUAGUCAUUGUUUUGUUUUGUAUAUUUACUUGCUUAUAUCACAGUUCUAUUCUCCCUCUGGUGAUCUUUGGAUGGCAUUUAUAUGCCUUUUGCUUUCAAUUUACUGGUCCACAAUGUUUUGCGCUUACAUCACAGUUCCAGCGCUUACAUCACAGUUCGAACUGGAUAUCCUAUAUAACAUCUUCUUGGCUUAUUACCAGGUGAUGGCUUAGGCGAGGGAUAUGGUAUGCUCGGUCAGGCAGGAAGUGGGAAGCUGCGCGUAUCGGUUGCACAGAACAAACUUGCUGCCAAAGUGGCUAAAAAGUAAGCCACUGUACUCUAAUAACUUACGUUUCGUCUGCUUCAAGGUCUACUAGAUAUCUAAUUUGUCACCUUGGUCUCUUUGUUGCAUCAUCAGGUUCAAGGAGAAGCUUUAUGGUAGCAGCGGCGCAACAUCUGGGUUGACAUCAAGUCUUGCAUUUACGCCUGUACAAGUAAGUUUGUGGUUCGAUGUCUCAUCCACUACUUUUGAAAGGAAAAGCAUCUUAAGACUUGAAUCGGUUCCAUUACUAUAUUUGUUUACAACUAUGCUUGGCUCAAUUGGUCAGAGAUGGUUAGGACGAAACUCCGUGGUAGUCUCCUCUUAUAUUAGAGCCCAAAAGGGAAAAAAAAUCCCAGUCAGAAUGUGAGUUCCGAAAUUUCAUUUGAACCAAAGAGAAUUCUCAGGCGAAAAGUUAAUAUAUCUGACUCUCCAUUCAGGAGGUCCAAUAACAUGGUUUAUUCAUACAUGCAAAAGAAGAGCAAUUAGUUGUUAUAUAUACUCUUCUAUUAAAUACCCAUCAGUAGGAUCUUUAUUGCUAAUCAGAUUUUGAUGAUUUUGAUGUCCUUGGUACAGUGAGUGUUAAUUUCCUUGUACUGCUAAAUUUUCAAACUUCUUUUAAACUUUUCCUAACAUAGGACUGCACCAGAGUUACGGACUUACGGGAUUUCUGUUAGUCCUUAUUAAAUAAACUUGAUGAUACGUACAAGCUGGUAACACGAAAAGUUUGGAACUCUAAUUUUUAUUUAAGAAGGCCAUCUUACUCAAUUGUUAUGUUUUGUGUAUUUCAGGGUAUAGAACUGACGAAUCCGCAAGCGCAUGGUAACCUGCUAGGAAGUGGAAUUCAGAGCACAUAUUUCUCUGAAACAGGGACAUUUUCAAAGAUCAAGAGGACUUGAAGAAAACUGAACAAGUCGCCAUCACAGCUUAGACGAUUUAGACACCCGGUACUGGCUCUUCUUGAACACCAACUUUUCUUAUUAGCAUCUUACUGUAUCAGUUGUUGAGAUAUAUAGAUAAAAAGUUCUCCGACUCAUGCAUUCUAUAUGGUCACGUUAAGUGAACAACAGAAUUUUCGUGGCAUUCCAUGUGCCAAUCAUGUGCAAAAGAUGACAUGUCUCUGUAGAGUAGGUUUAUGGUUGUUUAAGUUUCGCAACUGUUAGAUCAUCUGACUUGUAUUGUAUUAGUAUAUGCUGUGAUUUCUUAUGUCAAAAAAACCUCAAAAUCAUGUUGUUUUUCUUUUUCUUUUCUUUUUUUGUUUUUUGUCAACGUAUUUACCGCUAGUUGCUUGGUAAGAAGUAUUUGAUAUGGACUACUUGAUUUCCAAGGUGGUAUCAAUAAGUUGGUUACAUCAGGAUUAUGGGGUGAAAUGGAUCCAUCGUGGGUGGUUGAAAUAGAUUAGCAGCGUGCGAAUCACGAGCUAUUAAAUAGAAGAACGUUUAUCUUAACAAAAGCUUAAGCUUUCGGAGAAAUACUAUUUGUUUCACAUUAUUUAACGCUAAGCCCGUCCCAAUUUCGAACUUUUUCAAAGCACAUGGGGAGCAAUUAGAUAGACACUCUUAAGUUAGAGAUUUGAAAUUUUGAUCAACGGGUGAAAGCAUCAAGCUCCAUCUAGUUACACCUUUCCGAGGUGCACUUUUCUGGUUGAUCUUGUAGACGACCUUUUCUUAGCUGCUGCUUUUUUUUUUUUAGAAAAAAAAAACUUUUUUUUUAACCCUUUAUUUUUGUAUGGCUAACUAGAUGAAAUUUUACUCUCAAUUUUGAUGGCCACAAAAAAGAUUAACAUUCCAUUAUAACUUAUAAGGUCAGGAGAUAUUUGGCAUUGGUGAUUUUGAUUGCUGCAUCGGUUUUGUGGUCCACAAUAAAUUGAUUCUGACACGUUCCAAUCUUACCCCAAUGAGUUUUAGAGGCUGGAAUGAGAAUAAUAUCCUAUUAUAGAUUUUCGUUUUGUCCACAGUUCGAUUUUAAUGGAUAUUCAUUUUUUAAAAAAAAUAAACCGUUAAAGAGCAAACAUUAAAUAGAAUAAUAUUAGUAAUGCUCAGAAUCUUCUACUUUGAUAUCACGUAAGAUUAAUAUGAUACAAUCGAUUAUCUUCGAAAAUUUAAGCUUUCGUAAGCCCCAUCCUAAUUUUGAACUUUGUCAAAGCACAUGGAUAGCAAUUGGAUAGAAACUUAUACAUUAGAGAUUGGAAAUUUUGAUUAAGCGGGUGGAAGCAUCAAUCUCUCUUUAGUUACACCUUUCCUAAUGCACUCUUCUUCUGCUUUGGUCUUGUAGCUAACCUUUCUUUUGUUGCUUUUUUUUUCUGUUCUUUUUUUAGAAAAAAAACCUUUUUUUUGUCCCUUUACUUUACUUUUGUAUGGCCAAUUAGAUCAAUUUUUGCUCCUUUUUUUGAGGACCACAAAAGCUUAACCUUCCAUUAUUAGGUCGGAGAUUUUCGUAAUUGGUAAUUUGAUUGCUGCAUCAGUAUCGUGGUCCACAUUAGAUUGAUUCUGACGGGUUAUAAUCUUUCCCCAAUGAGUUUUGCUUCAUCACAUUAUUUAUAACCAAUCAAAUAUAUAUUAUUUUUAAGAGAAUAACAUAAUAAAAAUAAUAAGUAAUAUCACUAUUAUAUUCUAGACUUUUUCGAGUUUUAGAGGCUAAAAUGAGAAUAGUAUUAGGAUGCUAUGAGAUUUUUGUUUCGUCCACGGAUCGGUUUUGAUGGAUAUAUUUUGGUAACUACGGCGACACUUCUGAAGACCUAAAAUAUGAGUUAUCGUUUUCGCGUUAGAUGUAGACUGAUUCAAGCAAACCAAAGAAAACCCACACAAGAAAAAAAAAAUUGAAGUUGAAAUUCUCAAAUUGACAAUUUCAAUUUCGUGUCGAGAAAUUGAUUCUAUAAAUGUUUAUUCUUUUUUAUUAAUGAAAAAUAACUUUUUUAGUGGCGAAAAGGAUGACCUUGCUCAAGAACUUCCCCGCUUGGGGCUUACCAAGAGUUUUUCUAUUUACUCUCAAUUUUGGUUUGAAUAUUUAUUCGAUAAACAUCUCAAAGCCGAAAGUACAAAUAUCAAAUUUAAGCGCACACGAAGAGUCAAACUCCUGAUUAUAAUGCCGAUAUCAUUUCGUCUAGAGCCACAACAGCACAACUAUUAUUACUGAUCGUUUCUAGUGCAAGUGAUAAAAGACUCGACAGUUGAUAUUUAAAAUUAUAAUUACUUUAUAUUUUUAAUUAAAUAUAUGUUUUAAAAAAAUAAAUAAAAUAAAAAAUAUAUCAAAAAAAAAAAAAACACACACACACACACACACCCACACACGCACCUGAUGCGGAUUGUCACAUGGGUUUUUUAAAAUCAUGAUUAUAUUAUAUUAUAUAUAUGAUUGGCUGUGAGAAUAAAACAAAAGCAAAAACGCUUUGGGGUGGAUUACAAAGGUUUUUCUCACAAUAAUUACUAAAAGUUAUUAAAAUAAAUAAAUAUAUAUAAAUAAAUAAAAGCUCCGGAUGCAUGUGGGAGGGCCAUGUAGGCGAACAUAAAAUCUUAAUAUUAAUAAAUAAAUAAACUAUAGGCCCAAAGUCGUAGUCUUAUAUCUACGUUUGUAUUAAUUAAUGGAGCUAGUGCUACUUCUCAAAAAUUUUCCAUAGUCACAUAUUCACGUGAGAAUAUGCUGCAAAUAAUUAAUUAAUUAAUUAAUAGUCAAUAAUUUUACACUCCACACCCUUUCACGAACUUUGCCUAUUCGUUUGAACAGCUCUAUAUAUCACCUCUCGCCGCAUUAUUUCUCCUGCAAUAUUAUAUGUAAUGCAUAUAGUUAUAUAAUUUCGUAUCUUGAUUUGAUAUAUAAAACAAUGGCCGUGUGAUGCAUUAGUUAAGCUAAUGAAGAAAAUUAAUUAAUUAAAUUGACAGGUAGAAUUAAAGGUGUGGAUCAGAUCAAAUAAAUUAAGGCCUUUUCCAACUAAAUAGGAGAUCGACCUGCAUGUGAUGGUUCACUUAUAUUUAAGUUUCAGAUAUUUUAUGUAUUUUAAAUAUCUUAGUUUUAGUUAUAUAUCCAGCAAGUUUCUUUCUUUUAUUAACCCAUUGACCUAAACCAUCAAACUAUUUUUUUUUAAAUAUUUUAAAAUUAAGUUGCCUAAAAAAAUUUUAAAAUUAAGAAGAUAGAUAUUUUUCUCAAUUAAUUUUAUUUACUCUAUAAAGUAAAAUUAAUGGGAAGUGCCCUCUUGUCCUUAAUCCCUACUCAAUUUUUAUCUAUCUAAUAAAUGCAUCUAUAACUACUCUUUAAUAACUGUUUUAAUCUACCUAUUAAUAAUACAGCUAAUUAAACCCAGGAAAUUCGAACAAAGAAACAGUUAUACCUGGUCAAUUCAGUUUGCAUUACUCUUUUAUCUUCUUCUUUUUUCUUUUUCUUUUUUUUGCAACACAGUUAUGUUUAUUUUAAUUCUUUCAUGUUUUAUUAUUAGUUAAUUAUAUAUGGUUAUUAUGCAAUUUCAUGUAUCAAAAAAGAUGCACAUGUAUAACGCUCUAAUAUGCAGUGACGUUGUUGUUCUAAAUUCAAUGAAAAGGAUCCGUGUACGUGACGUUGUCAAAUAUGUACUCACAUGGAAUAAUUGCAUCGGAUAAAUAAAAUAUUAUUGCACACUUAUUAGUUGGGAUAUUUUUAGAAGGAAUUGCUUCGUAGGGAGAAUAUAACUCGGAAUUAAUUGCACUAAUUAAAGAUUAAAUUUAGAGUUUCUGUUUUAAGCCUUAUAAUUUUUGCCUCUUUUUUUUUCUGGUAUAUAUUGAAGUUCUAGAUUUUGAUUGUGGAGAAACAACGUCUAAUAAACACUAUAAAUAAAUAACGUCCUUUUCUAUUUAAUUCAAUUUAAAGUUUAUCAAGUGGAAAAUGACAUCAUUUGCUACAUCUUUAUCCAUUAAGAGUUGGACCACAAAAACGUCCGUUGUUGAGUGCAUACUACAAUCCAAAGCACUAGUCUAAUUUGAAUCAAGGAAAUAUUUUUCGCUUUUAUAUAUAUAUAUAUAUAUAUAUAUAUAUAUGUGUGUGUGUGUGUGUGUGUGUGUGUGUGUGUGAGAGAGUUGAGCUCCUAUGCUUUUAAAAGUACGAACUUAUUGAUACUUGUAAAUUUUUUAUCAUUAGAUUAAAGAAUGUGUGAUUAGUAUGAUGUGUGCUCCCUAGAGUUGAAUGGGUGGUUGGUUGAAUAGUAUAAUCUAAUGAUUAAAAAUGAUAAAAAAUGUAGAUCUAAUGGUAUAUAUAUAUANCGUAAGUUAUUUUUUAUGAUGGAAUUUCUGAAUUGAUGAUUUAUAGCGUUAAAUAUAAUUUAGUGUAUUGAAACUUUUAGAAAAUAAAUUUCGUAGUUUUUUAAAAUUAUAUUAAAAUUCAUCGAGCGGGUAUAAGAUAAACAGUCAAAAUUGACGACCACUUAAAAAUAGAGGAUCGAAUACUUUACAUUAAGAUCAAAGUUAUUGAUCUUUAUUUAGAUAGUGAAUAUAAUUUUUAUCAAAAAUUCAAUUAAUUUCUAUUCUUUUAUACCGUUAAAUUAGCAAAUAUGAGAUAUCAGGUGUUAAAAAUUGUCAAUUUUAAGAACUUUUGAUCGUAAGGUAAAUAAUUAAUCAAAAAAUUAUGAUUAAAAGUUUUAAAUGCUUUGAGUGUCGUUGUUUUGAAAAUUCUAUCAUCGAAAACGACUUAUGAGUACAAAGAUGAUUGUACUUUAAGAGUAUAGAAAUUGGACUUUCUCACUCUCUCUCUCUCUCUCUCUCUCUAUAUAUAUAUAUAUAUGAUUAAGUCCACAUCAUUACCAGUAAAAAUGGCAAUUUCAUUAAUGAGUCAAGCAACUCAUUUGCUAUAAAAAGCAAAAUUUGUGGAACUAAAAAGUUAAAAAUUCCUUUCGAAAAAAUUGGAAAGAGAAAUGCUACAUCUAUAACCCAGAAAGAAAUGUAGAAUUAUAAUUUUUUUAUUCAAGGAUUGAAAUCUUAUCUUUUAAAUCUGUACAUUUUCUUUGUCUUCAAAUAUUGGGAAAAAAGUGAUAAAAUUUCAAGACCGGAAGAAUCGUCAGUCAUACUCUAUCAAUAAAGAUGCACGAAAAAAUAGAAAAAACAGAACGAUAAAAGAAAUAAAUGCAAAAAUAAGAAACCAAAAUUUACAUGAUUCGGCAAUUGUCUACGUCCACAAGAAAAGCGGAAGAGAUGUAUUCCACUAUACGAAAAAAUAAAAUAUAAAUUUAUAUCUAAUAUCUUCUUCAGAUGAAAAAUCAAGAGCCGAUUAAUCUCUUCUUUCUCUUGUUUCAAUAAAAACUUCAAAAAUAAUAAUAAAAAAAUCAUAAAUCCAAGAAUACCAAAUAAGAGAAUAUAGAAAACUCUGAUCAAAUCCGUUAUGUUGUUGCUUCGAUGAAUCUAAACGGGUGUUGUGAAUUAAUUAGCCUGAUGAUGCAAAUUAAUUUUCUCACACACGAACGCCGAUCAAUACGGUCCACACGCAUGCAUAUACAUAUAUAAUAGGGGCAAUUGUUUAUAUACCUCUGAAAAGUUUCCGAAUUUUUGAUUUACCCCUCUCAGAAGGCUAAUAUUGAAAAUAUCUUCUUUAUGUUCCAACCUAUUUCUAAUAUACCCCUAGAGUUAAAAUCUGUUAAUUAACUCCGUUAACUCUGUAAAAUUACUAUUUUGUCCUUUCAAAUAUAUCCUUCCACCAUUACUAAUUUUCUUAUUGCCCUUAAAGUCAGUGGCACAAAAGGUAUUUUGACUUUUGGUCUUUUCCAAUAUACCUUUCUACCGUCACCAACAUUUAUUAUUUGCUCUUAAAUUAAGGAAAAAAUUGACAUUUUAAAUUUUUUUAACUGUAGUAGAUGUUUAACUUACGUUUAAUCCAAAUUAAUUUAAUAAGAAAUAACUGCGGGGGUAUUUUAUAAUAACGGUAGAACAUACGAUGAAUAUUUUAGAAAGAAAAAAAAGUAAAAGUAAAUUAGAUAGUUUCAAAUGUACGAACGGUAUAUAGGCAAUUAUCCCUAUAUAAUAUUCACAUACAUGUAUAAGUGAAUUCUAAUCCUUAUCCUACUCCACCUCCGAGUCAACUUGACUUAGGAGCACUUCAUAGAAAACCGGGCCAGCUCCAAUUUGACGUCCAACACAAAUUGAAAUCUGCCAAUGAGAAUUCACAUUAAGCCUCUAAUUAUUUUUUUAUAUAUGAAUUCGGUGCAUAAACCAAGCUAAUAAUAAUAAAAAAAGACAUAUCUUUAACAUAAUGUGAAAUUAAAAUCAUUUUGGAUACAUUUUACUUCGGUUGCUUUUAAUAAUUUUUAAUAAUUACAAAAUAAUUUUAUUUCUAUGUGAUAAAAUAAAAAGGAGUUCGAACUUCUAAUGAGAUUAAAACAUCAUGGUCAUACAUCUUGGUCCAAGCAACUAUUUAUCUAUUUAUUUUCCUAAUGUAAAAAUUAUUUCUAAAAAAAUUGAACUAGAUUUUAAAGUUUUCUAACAAAUCGUGGGAAUAUUUAUCUGUAUUAAUAUUAAUGCAAAAUAACUAAAUGCAGUGAAGCAUCAAUUUAUCCUAUCGCAGAUGGCAACAAAUUUGGUGAUGAAUAUCUGAGGUCCUAAAUUUGAACCUAACUAUUUUAUAUUUCAAUUAAAUUUAUAUUAAAAAAAUAAACGAAGUGAAUAAUGCUAUCUUUCUCUUAAAAUAAAAUAUCAAAAUUUCGAUCUAACUUUUUUAUUUUGAACAGGUGAUCAGAAGAGGAACAGAUGAGGGUGGCCUUUUUUAAGAAAAAAAAAAGGAAAAAGAAGAAAUCAUAGCUCAUCGUGGGUCCCACUGGACUUUCGAGCGACAAAUUAUUGCCCAUGCCUCCCUCCACUUCCUAACAAAGCCAAAAUAAUGUACCAACUUUUUUUUUUUUUCUUUUACUUACUGUCCUGGAGUAAGUGGCAAAGAACUUAGUGAUUGAUACCCGAGAUCCAAGUUCGAAUCCUAGUUGAUUCACAUUUCUAGCUAUAUUUAUUUCUAAAUAAAAUAAAUAAAGCAGGUAGCUUGCUUCCUAUCUUUCAAAAAAAUAAAAAACAAAUUUUUUUUCCUUUUUGAAAGGAAAGGAGUAUCUAUCCAGCUUCGUUCAAUUUCUAUUUAAAAUAAACUUAGCUGAAAAUGUGAAUCAACUAAGAUUCGAACUAGGUUUCGAGUACCUACCACCAAAUUCUUCUGCCACUUGCGCUAAAGACGGUCGUUAUAUCACCAAAUAUUAAUUAGUAUAUACUGGUGCUGCAGCAGCAGUUGAAAUAUACAAAAUUUUAUUCUAAACUUUUUUAACUAUUAAGUUAUUAUUCAUAUAGUCUGCUGGAUAAAAUAUUGCUCAAUAAGUAGGAGAUUCUCUCAUGCAUUAUUUUCGCUUAUUAAUCUUUUACAGCAAAAUUUAAUUUUUUUUAAUUAAUUUUUUACUUAGGGUGUGUUUGUUUUACAUGAAAAUUAUAAAAAAAUAGUGGAAAAAUAAUUUGAAAAAAUAAAUUUUAACAUUUUUUUGUUUGAUUUGUAACAAAAAAUAAUAAUAAUUUUUUGUUACGAUUAUUUGGUUGAAAAAAAAGUUAUAAAUAAAAAAAUAUCUGUAUAUAUUUUUUAUUCUUAAUAUAUAUUAUUAUUAUUGAUGUAUAUAAUAUAUUAUUAUAUUAUAUAUAGUAGUAUUAUAGAUUUAUAUUUAAUAAAUAAUUUUAUUUAAAACAUAUUAUUAGAUAAUUAAUAUGUAUCUAUAUAAUAUAUUUACUAGUAUAUAUUUAAUACUAUAAAAUAAAUUCCUAGAUAUUUUUAAAUAAUAUUUAUAAAUAAAAUAUUAUAUAAUAAUAUUUUUAUAUUAAAAAUAAAAAAUUAUUUUUAAUAUAUAUAUAUAUAUAUAUAUAUAUAAAAUAUGACUAAUGUGCUAUUAGGAGUACAGCAGUCUUUGUACUCCUAACUUUCUAACUAUUUAUCAAUUUUGAUGGAUGAUUAAGAUGAAAGAGAAAAAAAAUUUAAGAGAAAUUGAAAGAAAAGAAAAAUUGAGAAAUCCAAUUUCUUCUCAAUUUCUCUUCUCUUUCUUAGCUUAAUUAACUAUCCAUCAAUUUUGAUGGACGGUUAGAAAAUUAAGAGCACAGGGACUACUAUACUUUUAAUAGCAUAAUAGUCCUGCUCCAUAUAAGAAAAAGGGAGAGUGGACCUCUCUCUCGCUGUCCAUGAGAUAGAGUGUAUCUCCUGGACCGCGUGCCGCUGCCCCCUCUCCUCCCAGCGCCGCAUUUUUUCCAAUGGUAGUUUUAGUUUUUCGCGGUAAUGGAGCGAAGAGCGAAAACAUCUUGUUUUCUCUGAAUCUGUAGAAGAAAUUUGAGAACAUUUUUUUUCAGGUAAUCAAACACCGAAAUUCUAUUUUUGAACCGAAAAAAAAAAGAAGAGUUUUCAGUAUAGUUUUAAGUGGAACGAAAUAAUGUCUUUUUGAGUAAUUGUAAAUUUUUAUAUUGUUUGUAUUAGAAGUUAAAAAAAUUGAGUUGGCAGUUCGAUCACGUAGCUACUGGUGCUGUGGCUCAUCAUUAGUAUCGAUACGAUUAUAUAGGUACGGCCAUAAUCAAUAAAUGACAUUUUCUAAUGGGAAAACAACGAAACGAAAUGCCCCUCCACUUGCUCUUAUUUUCAACAUUGCCCCCCAUCACCGUACCCUCCUGACCCAAGAGAGCUUCACCAUAAAUUAGGGUGUAGUUAAGGUACAGAGAAUCUGGGAGUGUAACGCAGAGAACUCUCUCUCUCUCUCUCUCUCUCUCUCUCUCUCUCUCUCUCUCUCUCUUUAUUAUCCAUUCAUUUUGGGUGAGGAAACUCUCGCAGAGAACAAAAUCUGGGGAGUUUGUGAGGAGGCAUUAAAGGCUAUGGCGGCGGCUAGAAGAGCGGCUUCUUCUCUCCUCUUUCGUUGUCUCUACGCAUCUCCACGCUUCCAUGGAGGUGAUCUUUUUUCUUUUCCUUUUUUUGCAGAUUUUUUUUAAAAAAAAAAUUCCUGUAUGUAUCCUCGUUUUGCCUUGGUUUAGUUUUUGUACCCUUUUUUUUUUUUGUUACUUGUUUGUUGACUUAUUUCGGUUAAUUUGGUGGGUUUUUUAUCACCUUGGAGAGGUCACCUAUGCUGCUGCUUUUUUUUUAGUUUUUUUUUUUUCUCUUUUUUUGGCUGCUUUNAUGAAAAAUUAUUUAGAUUUUCGGGAGCCUAGACUGGAGGGUGUAAGACUUACAUUUUGUUUUUGGAAUGUACUAGUAAAAUUUCACCCUAUCCAAAAAAAAAAAAAAAAAAAAAACGUUUUUUUUACUGCUUUUUCUGUAUUUUUAUUGAUAUUUUUGUGGGGGUUUUUUUGGUAGAUGUAGGAGCUUUUCCGUUUUAAUUCUUCAACGAUCUAUGCUCUUUUGUAUUUUUUUAUAAAGUUUUCUUUUUUGUUGUUGUGAAGUAGUUUACUAGUUUGAGAAAAAUAUGGAUCAUUUAUUUGCUCUUUUUUUUAUUUUUUUUUUCGCUUGAUUUUGUGGUAGAGAAAUUUCCCAAUAAAUUGGUAUCAUCUAUUGUUGGUUCUUAUGGGCAAUUGUGGGUGUCAAUUUCCCUGUAUCAGUUCGAUUCGGAUCAUCACUAUUAUGUUCUGUUUAAUUCACUAUAUAUUCCAUAUACAAAACCAUCAGGUGGUGCUUUGGAUCUGUUUGUUCUUCAAUUUGUGAAUUAAUAGACAAAAACAGUGACCAUUUCAUUUAUUUAUUUAUUUUUGCACUAAUGUAAGUGCCUUUUUACCACUGUGCUCAAUUCGCGAAAAUUUUGCUGAGUGCAUUUCGAUAAAUUUCGUCUUCAGGUAGAGCAAAUGCCCUGUCUUCGGGGAUUCUCCAAAGGUUUAGCACCGCAGCCGCAACCGAAGAACCGAUCACACCGCCUGUUCAAGUCAAUUACACCCAACUCCUGAUUAAUGGACAAUUUGUGGACUCGGCAUCUGGUAUAUAUAUGUGUAUUUUUAACUUAAUCACUGAAUUUUAAUCUUACUUGUGGGACUAUUUGUACUAGAUUCUUAUAGCUUGAUCUUGUAGUGUGCCGUGUACAUUGCUUCUUCUUGCACUCAUGCGAAAGUGUUGUUUACUUAGAGCUGUUUGAAGAAGCACUUAUAGCUCUCUCAUGAAGAUCUUCCCUACAGCUCCUGCUGUGGAGGAGACUGGGACUAUUGCUUUCGGGGUGCAAAAGUUUAUUUUUGCUUCUUGCCACAAGCAAAAUGCCUGGUCUUUCGAGAUUAGAGAAGCUAUUUCGAAAGCAAUGCCGAACAAACAAUGUGAUCAGAGAUAGUUGUUAAGAUUACCCCCUUUUCUACCAGGUAGAACAUUCCCAACCUUGGACCCUCGCACUGGGGAGGUCAUUGCCCAUGUUGCCGAGGGAGAUGUCGAAGAUAUCAAUCGUGCCGUCGUUGCCGCUCGCAAGGCAUUUGAUGAAGGGCCUUGGCCAAAGAUGACAGCUUAUGUAUAUUCCUACGAUCUUGUGUAUUUCUAUUUUUCGUAUUAGUUACGGCCACAAUCUCUUGAAUCUUUUGUAAACUAGCUAUCCCUCAAAUCUUCCAGGAAAGAUCCCGCAUUCUCUACAAGUUUGCGGAUUUGAUUGAGAAACACAACGAUGAGCUUGCUGCUCUUGAGACUUGGGAUAAUGGGAAGCCAUAUGAACAGGCUGCAUUAGCUGAAGUUCCAAUGUUAGCCCGUCUGAUGCGCUACUAUGCUGGUAAUGCUUAUGAAUGCCUUCAUUUUUUCUUGGUAAUGAAAGAGUAUCGCCUUUUGAUCCGUCUUUCUCAGCUGAGUAGAUUAACUUAAGAAUCUUUUCUUUCAAAAUUUUCCAGGUUGGGCGGAUAAGAUACAUGGCCUCAUUGUGCCGGCCGACGGCCCGCAUCAUGUGCAAGUCUUGCAUGAGCCAAUCGGUGUUGCGGGUCAAAUCAUCCCAUGGAACUUCCCGCUUCUUAUGUAUGCUUGGAAAGUUGGGCCGGCACUGGCUUGCGGAAACACCAUUGUACUUAAGACGGCUGAACAAACUCCUUUAUCGGCUUUAUACGUGUCAAAGCUGUUGCAUGAGGUGGGUGCAGAGUAUAUCCAUGUUCGACUGUGUCUUAGUUACGGGAUAAGUAGAUAUCUUAGAUUUUUUGUUCUUGUAUUUUCCUCUAAUUAUUUCUUAUGGUCUUUCAUAGUUUUUCGGCUUGUAAAGCCUACUGAAAAUGACUUGACCAACGACUUUUUUCAAUCUUUGGGGCCCAUAAAGAUGGCUCAGUUUAUCUGCCUGAACUAGAGAUGUUCAUACAUCAACUACCAUUUAUUGCUCUCUUCUUCUUCUUCUUUUUUCUAUUCCGCAUAAAUUUGAUGCACAGUAACAAUGAGUUCUAAGAAAUGCAUAUUUUACUGGUUUUUGGUAAUUAUGAAAAAAGCAUUUGAGAUUUCUAACAUUUGGUGCCUUCCGUACUUAUGAUCUACUUCCCGUUGCCCGCAUAGAUUGAAGUCUUUUACUGUUCUAAUCUCUGCAAUAUAUUAACAGGGAUGUGAACUCAGUAAUGUUUUAUAUUUAACAGUUAUAUAAGCUGUGUUAGACCAUGAUUUUUCCAAUUAAUGCCAAAGCCACCCAAUUUCUUUUGGCUAUUUCUACCGUUCUGAAUAGAAAAAGGAAAAAUGAAGUGUCGAGUUCUUAAACACCUGUAAAUUGGUAAAAAAUGAAUUCUAUUCUUUUAUUUUGAGUGAAAAGAACAGUUCUCUUUUAGUCGAUUAGCGCAAAGCAGAUUCAAUAUCCUGUUCCUUCUAUUCAAUGGAUUCUGGUAACUAUUUCUGAUGAAUGUUUCAGGCUGGUCUACCCGAUGGUGUUUUGAAUGUGAUCUCUGGUUUUGGUCCCACUGCUGGUGCUGCUCUUGCUAGCCACAUGGAUGUGGACAAGGUAAAUAUGUUCAUAUUUUCAUUUAUUUAUACGCUCCAUGGUGUUUAUAUCUGAAUUUUCUAUGUACUUACUGUUGUGCUCCGCUAAAUUAGUUCAAUUUUCAUGUAAUAACACGAGUCAUUCUAUAUAAAAUUAUGUACCUUUCCUCAGCUUGCUUUUACUGGAUCGACCAAUACCGGUAAGAUCGUUCUUGAAUUGGCUGCAAGAAGCAAUCUUAAGCCAGUGACUCUUGAGCUCGGAGGGAAGUCUCCUUUCAUCGUAAUGGACGAUGCUGAUGUCGACCAGGCCGUAGAGCUCGCUCAUUUUGCACUAUUCUUUAAUCAGGUAAUUUUCACCAAUUACAGUGAAAGGGAAUUGCGCCAGUUUUUAAAUCGAUUAAUGAUGUUUAGAUCGUUACUCCUUUUGCAGGGACAAUGCUGCUGUGCUGGGUCUCGCACAUUUGUACAUGAAAAAGUGUAUGACGAGUUUGUAGAGAAAGCGAAAGCGCGUGCUUUGAAGCGUGUUGUCGGCGAUCCUUUCAAGAAAGGAGUUGAACAAGGCCCUCAGGUAACUACAGCACGAAAAAUGGCAUGAAUUGUAUUCACAGAAAUAAAGGCAAUUUCGUAAAGAGAAGAUCAGCAUGACCAGUUUAGAUGAUAUGUCAUUGAAUUUUGUUCUUUUUCAGAUUGAUGAUGAGCAGUUCUCCAAAGUUCUGCGCUACAUAAAGUCGGGCAUCGACUCGGGGGCUACCCUUGUAGCUGGCGGAGAUAGAUUCGGCAGCAAAGGAUAUUACAUCCAGCCGACCAUAUUCUCGGAUGUGCAGGUAACAAGUUAGCUCCCCUGACAACUGCUCCACAAAGUGAAGUUCUAGGUGUGUUUUACUCAUUUGUUUUUUUCCUCGAUUUUUCUAGGAUGAAAUGACCAUAGCUCAAGAGGAGAUAUUCGGCCCAGUUCAAUCUAUCCUCAAGUUCAAGUGAGUAUUGUUUAGUAUAUAAAAAUUGAAAACAACGUUCUCUUAUAGCUGAAGCUUAAGAUUUUAGAGCAUCAUUUACUAUUUAAUUGAGAAAAACAAUCUAAACUCCUAUAAAACUUAAAAUACUUUUCCUAUGGAUGAUCACAGGGAUAUUAACGAAGUCAUCAAGAGGGCAAAUGCCAGCAGGUACGGGUUGGCGGCCGGGGUCUUCACCAACAACCUCGACACCGCCAACACGCUGGCUCGUGCUCUGAGAGUCGGGUCCUUGUGGAUCAACUGCUUCGACGUCUUCGAUGCGGCGAUCCCCUUCGGCGGCUACAAGAUGAGCGGGCAGGGCAGGGAGAAGGGCAUCGACAGCCUGAAGAACUACUUGCAGGUCAAGGCAGUCAUUACGCCGUUGAAAAACCCGGCCUGGCUGUAAUUAUCAUGCCAAUGAGUCGCUGCUGCGAUGUUUAUUUUGAAAAUAUGAAUGUUUGCCGGUUGUAAUAAUAAGCAUUAUUAAUUAUUGCAUGGAAUUGAGAUGAGAUCUCUGUGAUAAUGCAGCUCCUGUUUCUCUGCUAGUUUAGUAUUAUGGAACUGCACCUUCUGAGUUUCCCCAAAUUUCAGUGUUAUCAAUGUGAAAUUUUUCAUCAUUUUCUGAAAGUGAGGGGCAAAAUUUUAUAAAAUGCUUGAGGAUGAGAUCUGAAGGAUAAUUUUUUUUUAUUUUUUUAUUUUGCACCUAGAUUAUUUCCUAUGUGCAAAAUUUGAAUGUGGCGAAAAACUGUGUGAUCUGGUAACGUUCAUGGCGCAAGGUGGUAUGAUUUUUAAUUGAGAUCAAAGUGCAUUUGCUAAUUUGUUGGCCUCUCUCUCUCUCGCCCCCGUCUCUCUAAUAUUCAAUUAGGCCUUUUCGGCCCAGUAGACUCAAAACUUAAUUGGGCCUGUCCACGUAACCAACACUUACUGGGUUUGUUGGGCCCCUUGGACUAGAAAAAAUGUGAAAUGGAGCAUUUUUUUGUCCCCUUCCAUACUGAUUCAUCUACUAAGUCCUCGUUGGGAUAUUCUUUUUUGAUUUUUAUUUUGUUUCCAUAUUCGUGGUUCAUAGCGAUUCCACGAGAAUUUUGAGAGAAAGAUAGCAUGCAAUCCGUUUCGUUUAUUUUUUUUUUAAAAAUAAACUUAGCAGAAAAUACAAAGCAAUUAGAUUUCUUGGAAUAACUGAGUACCAACUAUCAUGUUCUUUUCCAUUUGCACUACGGACAGUCGGGGUUGCUCAAUAAGAUUUUAAAUCAGCUCAGUGGUUGUUUCCAGAGCUCGAUGCCAUGUCAUAAGGCAUUUCUUGGUCACUUUCUGGUAAUCAACCAAAGUUGGAAUAAAAUAAACGCCUUAAGAUUUCCAAUUCCAAGCAAACUUGCUUACCCCAGUCAAAUUCAGCCACGAAAUGAUCAAUCACUUAAACGCGGAUUUCCUCCUCUACUGAUCCCAGAUUUGAUUAUUCGUGCUAUCUCAAUCACGUACAGGAAACCCAUUAAUGAAGAUAAUGACUCGCUUCAGAGAAAAGGAUAAAUGAUAAAUUUGAUCUGUUUCUCGAAAGUUGAAGUUCUAUAUAAUCGAGCAAAAUGCUAGUAGAAAACUUUUUAGUGAAAAGAAUUAUAAAUAUAUAUAUAUUUUUUUAAUGUCGUCGUUACUAAAUGACUUGUGUUCUAAUUAAUAAUGCGUGGAAACUCGACUAUAAAUAAGGUCACAAAUUGGAAUCAAAUGUGCAAAACGUAAAAUUUUGAGCUUUAUUUGAAAAAUUUUAUAGUUGAACUAAAUGGACCAAACAAGUCCCGAUCUUUGUGGUACCCAGCCCACACGUGUCACAUCGGGGUCCCACACGUAAUCAUCCUACGUGGCCACGCGUGUACACCUGGCUCCGCUUGGACGCUUUGGCGUGCAGCUAAGUCACCUCUGCGACUGCCACGUGCCGUUCAAUUUUCGCACCAGGGAGGGGAUUAUCCUACGUUGAUCUCCGCCGUGUGGGGCCCCCAACUCCGCCACCCCCACACCCACGUCCACGUCCACGUCGCUGAUACUCGGCACGUGUCCCGUUCCCUACCCCUACGUUUCGUGCAUCCUCGCCGUUGGAUUCUUAAUCAUCUCUCGUGCUUGCCACUUAACGGCGACCCCGCCGAUAAUCACCGCACAGGAGACACCCUUCACACCAAAGGCACAGCCCGACGCGAUUGCUGACGCACACGUGUCGACUAUUUACUCGUCUUGUAAAUACUACGCUGUUGGCUCCGUAACAGCUGAUGAGAUAUUUAUGUCGGCCAAGGAACUCAACGGAGACUUCUCCCCGCGACCGAGGGGGUUCACGGGGAACGGUAAGUCCUUAGUAGGGCCGGUUAACUGCCACGUGUCCCCACUUUUCGCGCCCAGUCGCUCCGCCCGGAUCGUACGAUCCAUAUCCAGAGGAAGCUACGCCGCCCCAUUCAUCUCCUUCCACGUGUCCCUCCCACACGCGUCAAAUGAUUGGACCAAUGUUUCAGAGCUCGUAAAACCCACGUACGCAACCCCGCCUAUAAAAUCGCACAAGCGAAGUACGCUUCGAACUUCGUUCUCAUUUUAUUCUGUUUUUUUUAUUUCUUUCAAAAAAAUCUUUCUACUGCUGCUGCGGCUGCUGCUGCAUUCUUAUUCUUUUUCUAUGACGCAUUUAUCGGCACGCCGGAUUCUUGAUCUUCCGGCGAUCGGCCCCUGCGACUCGAUCUCGCUGCCCACGCUUCUCCGCGCACUAAUCCGUGUAUCCGGAGCGAUCAUCGCCCGCCGAUCGGACGCAUUUCCAAUCCACCGCCGCAUAAUUCUCGAGACAAUUCGCGAGGUCGGCGUGCUUCAGGAGUUCUUCGAGGAUGUGGCGGAGCGCGGAACCGCACUUCCGGCUUCCGCCACGGUGGGCUUAUCGGAGCUUUACAUCGCGCUCCACAAGAUCCAAAACCUCAUCUCCGACUGCGCCCGGCGGGGGGCGCGCCUGUGGAUACUUGCGCGGUCCGACCGGGUCUCGUCGGAGUUCCGGCUGCUGAUCAGGUCCAUUUCGGUAGCUCUCGACGUGCUUCCCUUAGACGCCAUCGACGCGGCUCCGGAGAUGAAGGAGCUAAUCUUUCUUUUAUCGGCGCAAGCGCGCAAAGUCGGCGUCGAAGUCGAUCCUGCGGACGACUCCGCAGCUCGGACAGUUCGGUUCGUGCUGGACCAGUUUAAAAGUGGGGCCGCGCCCGACCCGGCCGAUCUGAGCCGGGUGCUGAAGCGAUUGGACGUAAGCACAUGGUCGGAGUGCGACGAGGAGGUGUCGUUCUUAGAAGAGGAGAUGUUCUCAUGCUUACAAGAGGAAAGCAAUGAAGUUGCUAUUUUCGGUACGUUGAUGUCGUUCAUGGUCUAUUGCCGCGUAGUUCUCUUUAUUACCAUCGACGGUGAAGGAGUUGGCCGUGACGAACGUGCGCGCCGAGCGUUCGAUACCAGUUCGCUUAAUCCACAAACACUGGUAUGCCCAAUUUCUCUUGAGAUCAUGAAAGAUCCUGUAACGAUCUCCACUGGUCACACCUACGAUCGUGUGGCGAUUAAGAAAUGGAUCAAAUCCGGUAGCUGCACGUGCCCGAUAACGGGGGAGAAGCUCACUAAUGUCGACUUCGUCCCGAACUCGUCUCUCCGACGUGUUAUCGAGCAAUUCUAUAGCAACAAGGGCGUCGAAAUCUCCGAGUCAAACACGAAGCAUACCUGGAAUAUAGAAAAGACCGCCACGCCGUUUAGUUCGGCUGCGGCCGGAGCGACUAAAAUGGCGGUGGCUUUUCUUAUCGAGAAGCUUGCAAAAGGAGGUGAAGAGGAGGAGAAGAGAAAGGCGGUUUACGAGAUUCGGAAGCUAUCUAAGUUCAAUCUAUUCAACAGAGCUUGUUUGGUCGAAGCCGAUGCGGUUCCGUGGCUUCUUUACCUUCUCUCCUCCUCCUCCUCCUCCGAUGCUUCGACCCAACUCAAUAUCGUUUCCGCAUUGUUGAAUCUUUCGAAGCACCCUAAUGGUCGAAAGGCGGUCUUCGAGGCCGGUGGUGUCGAUCUUAUAAUAGAUAUUAUGCGGGUCGGGCUAAAAGUCGAGGCGCAGAAUAAUGCGGCGGCGAUUCUUUUCUAUCUUUCUUCGGCCGACGAGUAUCGGAAAGAGAUAGGAGAGAUUAGAAGGGCUAUUCCAGCACUGCUGGAGCUGCUACAAGAAGGCUCUUACCGCGGUAAGAAGAAUGCCAUCACUUGUCUCUUUGGAUUACUCCAAUAUCCGGGAAAUCAUCGUAAGAUCGUAGCGGCCGGAGCUAUUCCCGUUCUUACAAAUCUCCUUUCGAGCGAUCACGUUGAUCUUGCGAAUGAUUCCGUCCAAGUCCUCGAAAAGAUUGCCGAGAGGGAUGAAGGAACGGAUGCUAUCAUCGGGUCUGCGGGCAUUGCUAAGAUUGCGGAGAUCCUAAGCUCGACGAGCUCUCGGUCGGGGAAGGAGCAUUGUGUAUCGCUUCUGCUGCAUUUGUGCAGCAACGGCGGAGACAAGGUUGUUAGUGUUAUCGAGAAGAUACCGCCGCUCAUAUCGUCAUUGUAUUCGAUCGUAACGGAGGGAUCCCCUCAGGCCGGCAGGAAGGCCAGGUUGAUUCUCAACCGCAUCCACCGCCGGUCCACGAUUUCGUGAUUCAUACACGGGUCACGUACAGUAGCACGAGUUCGCAGCUCAUCGCGCGAUUUAGUAAUAUUUCAUCGAUUUGUUUUAGAUGAUUAGAGGAUGGAAGCAUUCUUUUGUUCCUUUGAUUUUUUUUUCUUCGUUAAUGUCGUUGUUAUGAUCUCAGAUCGGUUUUUUAUGAGAUCUAGGGAUCAUGGAUUCAUAUGCAUGUAUGUGUAUGUAGAAUUGUGUGCAUAUUGCUAUUCAUUUAUAUGUUGUUUUGAUGCACUGAUGUACAUAAGAUUAGUCUUAUAGAAAGUUUAUUUUUUCUUUUUAUUUUUUCCGGAGAACUCAAGCUUUAGUUAGCUUCAGUGUACUAUCAUUAUUGAUGUUAUACUCUCUCUAUAAAUAUGCAUUACUAGUUAUGAAACAGUAACAACUGAUUCAAUCUAAAGGGACCGCCAACCGACUAGUCUACUAUAUGCCUAAACUACUCCACGUAUCACCCACAGAGUUGGCCGAUCUAAAUAGAAUGUCCCAAAGGACUACUGCGAUAAAAAUGCUAAAAUGGCUCACUCUGAAGCGACACUCGGAGGAGCAACCCAGCUGAGUAAAAAAACGUACUUUGACCGUCUCGCUCUUCUACCACUUGUUGAAGAAAGUGGCCACGUGAAAGAAAGAGGAGCACUCGAGCUCAAUCAAAUUCACGUAGACUAUAGUCAAUACUAAUACUCAAGCCGGUCAAAGAACCAAACCUUAUGUAAAAACAAAAUUCUAAAAUGCAACGGGUAUAUUGGUGACGUGGCGUAACAAAUCAAUCAAAUGUCUCCAUUUAAGAAUAUAUGUUCCAUCAUGAUUGUAAAAAAAAUAUUUUUAUUGUACUUUUGUUUAAAAAGUAUGAAUGUUAUUGGCUUAUUAUUUGAUGACGUGGUGCAAGUGUGAUAGUGUCUUCUACGCCAGAAGUGUACACGUCAUCAAAUAAUAGGCCAAACACUCACGGGAAACGUGCCUUUCAAGCCUGUGAGUGUUUGGCCUAGAGGCCAAUUUUGCAUAAUAUUUAUUAUGCAAUAUUUUAUUAUUUGAUCAACAUUGUUAUUCCCUUUUUUUUAUCACAUGGCCCGUAGGCCGUGACCCCUAGGCCCAACCCAUCCCAACUCACAUAUGGACUUAGCCAAUGGAAUACCCACUAGAAUAGUGCGUUUAUUAAAGCACCAUAGAUCUUUCAAGCAAAAUCGAUGUUACUGAAUUAAUACUUUUACUUGAUUUUAAGACUCACUAUUUAAUAUAUAUUUAUUAUUUUUAAAAAUCGAACUAAAAGAAAGGCCACCUACCCUAUUAUAUGGUUGAGCGAGGAGGGAAAAGGCUUCUUCUAGAAUGUUUUGUGAAACGCAGUAAUGGGUUUCCAAUUACUAACCAUAAAUGUAUUAUGUAACUACUCUUUUGAAUAACAAUUUAAUUAGUUAAAAGAAAUUAUUUGGUUGCAUGUAGUUACAAUUGUACUGUACUAAAAAUUUAAUGUUUGAUCUGAUAUGUUUAACUCAAACUGCUGGAGUAGGAACUGUAAUAAGAGGUCUAACUGCAGCAGUUGGAACUACGUCCAAAAUGACUGCAGUUCGGACUGCAGCAAUUGAAAAAAAUAACUUUAAACAAAAAACUAUGCUUACCCCCUUAAAUAUUUUUUAAAUAAAAAAAUAUUUUUUUUCCAUUGGAGAUAAUCUCACUAUCAAAUAUAUAAAAUGAUAAAAUUUAAAAAUUAUUUCGUAACUAUAUAUAACCAAAUAAAUUAUUUAUAGUUUCAAUAUUUUUUACUAUAUCUAAUCAAAUAGAAUGCAUUUAGUUGCAACCGUAUAUAUCUUCAACUAUACUGUAUUUAUAAUUAUAUCAAACCAAAUGUUCCCCAAGUAGCAAAUAUUAACAUCACAUACGAUCAGUGAUAUUUUAACAGUAAUAGAAUCCAAACAAGAACAAUAGAAAGUGAGCCGGUAUGAGCGUAGGAAUCUUUGGAACUUCCAUAAUUCUAUGCAUAAUCUCUUGUUAAUUUCUCUUGAUUAAAUUAAGAAUAAAAAGAGUGGAGUGCGUUUUCAAGCCACCACGUUUUGGUACCGUACCAUUCCUAAAUAAUAAAUGAUCAAGAUGUGUGCUCUAAACCUAAUGCAUUAGUUACAUCACAGAGUGGGGAGUAAUUAAUAUCGCGUUCAAUUUGGAACCAGUAAAAAGUGUUAAGUAGGCCUACUAAUAAUUUAUAUGAAGUUUUUACUAUUAAUUAUUAUUUUGGUUUUAUUUACUUUUAGGUAUGGUUCGGGAAUAAGUUUUUUUUUUUUUUUUGAAAAAUAGGUAGCUUAAAAUCGCUACCCGCUUCAUUCAUUAGGGGAAUGAAUUAGGCUUACAAAAUGGAGGCAGCCAAGGCCUCCGUAAGGAGAGAGAGCGACAGAAGCAAAAAAAACAAAAAACAAUGCAAAGACAUGGGGGAGGGGAAAAUAGAAGCGAGAAACAAAUCACAACCACAAAAAAUUACGGAAAACCGUUCAGCGAGGGGUGGUCCAAGAGGCGAACAGGAGCUUAAUUUGAUCCAAGCACCGGAUAGGAUGGGGGCACUGUCUCGAAAGAUUAUAGCAUUCCUUUCCGUCCAAAUUACCCACUAGAUUGCAGAGAGGAAGGAUAGGGAAGUAUUAUUUCAGACUAUCCCUGAGAUAGAUACAACUUUUGAAAUAAAAUUAAUUUUACGUUUGGAUGAGAAUUGAAUUUUUUUGGAAAUAAGCAAAAUAGCAUUCAGAUGGUUAGAUUGGAAGAGUAGGAAUAAAAAUAAUUAUAUUUUUAAUAUAAUAAUAUUUUAUCUAAUUAAUUAAAUAAUAAUUCAACUUACUUAAUUUACUAAUUAAUCAUUACUAUUGCUAAAUAGCCCUAAAUGUUAAUUAAUAAAUUAAUUAAUCAGGUAUAAUUUAAUAAUUUAAUAAAUUAAUUAGUUAGUUACAGCCAAAUAAUUAAAUUAGUAAAAAUAAUAAUUAAUUAAUCAAUAUAAAUAUUAGUUAUUAAAUAAGUACACUAAUAAAUAAUUAAUUAUUUAAUUAACAUAUUAAUUAAAAUAAUAAAUUAAUUACUCAAAUAGCUAAUUAAAUAUUUAUUAGAGUAAUAAAUUAAGCAGUACAAUUAAUAAUUUCAUAAUAAAAAUAAUAUAUUAUAAUAUAUAACAAUAUUAUGGCUAUAUAAUUUAGUUUUAAUUUAAUUAUAAAAUUUAAAAUUAAACUUUAGAAUAGUACUGUUACGCUAAAAUAAUAGAAUAGUAAAUUUUGAACUAUUCCAAAAUAAUAAAAAAAUAAUAAUAUUUAAUCGGAAUAAAACAUUUCAGCUCAAAAAAUACUCUGUUCGGUGGGAUAGCGGAGAUUUUCGUUAUCACUGUUUUAUCGGUGGUGGCAGAGUGUCGCAUCGCUCGAGCUGUCACUUACCCGGGGAGGCGGGGACUCUUCUUCUCCGAUUAAUUGUUGAUAUGAGCGUUGGCGGAGGAUCAAAUAAUUCAUAGUUCAUAGUUCGUAGUUCGUAGUUCGUAGUUCGUAGUUCGUCGCUCAUAUAUAGUGGGUAGUUUUAAUUAAUUUGCUGCGGAUCGAGAACAAAUUAAUUAAGCCACGAUGAUGAGUUCUUCGGCGCCCUCAUGCGCUUCCGAUGAUGCGCUCCCGAUCCCCCGCGUAGCGAUAUUCCCGUUCGUGUCGAAAGGCCACACCAUCCCCCUCGUCCACCUCGCGCGCCUCCUCCACCGCCGCCGCCUCCUCCUCCUCCUCCUCCUCCUCCUCCACCGCUGCACCACCACGACCUCUUUGCCAUUCCCCCCCACCACCGCGCNCUCCCCAACGUCCCGGCCGCGGCCGGGGGCGUCGAGAGCGCCGACCAAUUCGCCUCCGCGUCCCUCUUCCUCCCCUUCGUCCGCGCCGCGUCCCUCCUCCGCCCCGCCUUCUCCGAAUCCCUCCGCCGCCCCACUCCCCCGUCCCUCCUCGUCGCCGACGCCUUCCUCUUCUGGGCCCACGCCGCCGCCGCCGAGCUCGGCGUCCCCAGCGUCGUCUUCAACGGCAUGGGCGCCUUCGCCUCCGCCGUGAGCCUCGCCGUCACCGUCCACAAGCCCCACGCCGGCGUCGCCUCCCGGCUCGAGCCGUUCCCGGUUCACCCCUUCCCGGGUCUCCGGCUCACGAGGGCCGACCUCGCCCCGCCGUUCGACGACCCGGACCCGAAGGGCCCCCUCUGGGACUUCAUCGUGGAGGUAAGGGCCGCCACGCGGACCUGCCGCGGCACCCUGGUCAACACCUUCUACGAGCUGGAGCCGCUCUACGUGGACCGCUGGACCCGCGACCUCGGGGUCCGGGCCUGGUGCGUCGGACCCCUCUGCCUGGCCCGCGACGCCGGCCCCGGUCCGGACCGGUCCCCCGUGAUGGACUGGCUCGACUCCCGGCUCGCCGCGGGCCGGCCGGUCCUGUACGUGGCGUUCGGGUCCCAGGCGCGGCUGCCGUCUGCCCAGGCGGAGCAGCUCGCGGCCGGGCUGGACCGGUCCGGGCUGGACUUCCUCUGGGCGGUCCGGCCCGGCGAACCCGAGUUGCCGCAGGUCGGGGAGCGGGGGCGGGUGGUCGGGGAGUGGGUGGACCAGGUGCAGAUCCUGGCGCACGGGAGCGUGCGGGGGUUCGUGACGCACUGCGGGUGGAACUCAGUGCUGGAGAGCCUGAGCUGCGGGGUGCCCAUGCUGACGUGGCCGAUGAUGGCGGAGCAGUGCCUCAACGCCAAGUUCGUCGUGGAAGAGCUGCGCGCCGAGCGGCGCCGCAGACGAGACGUCGGUGGCGGCGGAGGACGUCGAGAGGAUGGCGAAGGAGCUGAUUCUGGGGGAGACGGGGAAGCAGGCGGCGGCCAGGGCGGAGGAGCUGAAGGCCAUGGCCAGGCAGGCAAUGGAGAGCGGCAGCGGGUCGUCGUGGACGGCGCUGGCGACAAUGAUUCACGACGUUUGUGGGAGUACUGAGAUCCAGAAAUAAAUUAAGCAAACACUAACAUUAAUGGUUUCUCUUCUUAAUUAGCCAGAUAUAUAUUAAUUCUUACUGCGCCCCUAUAUAGCAGUACGUACGUACUGAUCCUGGUUUUAGUUACCUCGAGUUAUAAUAAACGUCCAAUGAUCAUGUUGUGGAAUCGUAAUUUGUUAUGCUCCCGUUGCUCUUCAUUCAUUGUCCGAAACAUGUACUGGGAUUAGAGUGUUGUUAAUCAAACGCAACACCACUCGUUACCUUAUUACAAAUGUGUUUUCCAAAUAUUUAAUCUUUACCGUUUCUAAAAAGUCCGCUACUUUCGUAUUUGAUCUUCACAGUCAGAGGUUUUGAAAGUCACCGCUUUGUCAAAACUCAAAAGUGGUGGCAUAUCCACGUACGUAAUGAUCGAAAUUACAACUUCUUUGUAAACGUAGUUUCAUGAUCUUCAUGCUUAAUUUUGUGGUAAUCACAAAGUUUAAAAUUAAUGUUUUAAUGAUGUAAAAACUAAUAUGAUAUAAUAUUACUGUUUUUUUAAUUAUAUUAAUAAUUUGUUGCAAUUGCAUCUAAAUAUUAUUAUUUUUUAUUCCCGAAGAGAUGAAAGUGUAGAAGCUCAUAAUCUAUCCAUUGUUUUUUUUUAUCAUUUUUUAUGUACUUGUAAUUUGCUAAUAAAAUUACCUAUGAAUUAUAAUAAAUUAAAUUUUAAAAAGCAAUAGUAACUUUUAGAGGAGUCGUUGUCAUAAAGAGUGGCCACACAUUGUGCUUCGCUCAGACAGUGUUCCUGGCCAUCGCAACCCCAUCCCUCCGAGGUUCUCCGCCACGCUUAUUAUAUCACGCACCGUCGAAUCGAAAUUGCUGUGUUUGUGCACGUGUGGUGAGCUUCAAAGGGAAUGGCGUUCCGAGCUGCGGCGGUGGCGAGGCCUCCUCCUCCUCCUCCUUCUCCUUCUUCUUCUUCUUCUUCUUCGACCAAGCCCAAUCCCCGGGCGCUGCGUAGGGCAUCUUCUUCUUCUCCACCUCGCUCCCACGCUUCCCCCGCGGCGCUCUCCCUCGUCGCCCUCUUCGCCACUUCCGCUUCCUACUCCGAGGCCAAGGCUCUCGCCUUCUCCAAAGAGAGCAUCGUCGAUUCCCUCACUAAGGCAUUGUUGCUCCUUCACCCUCUCUCUCUCUCUCUCUCUCUCUCUCUCUCUCGGUAGGAAUGUUGUUGAGUAAGAAAAAAAUAAUUAGAUUUUUUGUACGAUUCAGGGGAGUAUAAAUGAGCAAUUUUGAAACCUUUAAUGCAAAAUUGCCGAAUCUUUUCGAACUUGUUUUGAUUUUAUAAAAAAAAAGAAAUUUCUAGAGCAGAAAUAAGAUUUUAAGCCUCAACAACCAAAGCCUUGCUUUGGUGCUUCUUAUUUUGCUGUAGAAAUAAGUUACCGAGGGUAUUUUAAUGUGUAUAUAUAUAUAUUUUUUGCUCUAGUAUUUAAUAUCCCUGCUAAGUUUAUGCGAAUUGCUAGAGAACUCUUCUUAAAUUACAUUGAAACUCCUAAAAUUCUUGAAAAUUUGCUCUAUUUUGAUUAGGUGGAGAGCACAAUUGACCAGGUUGAGGAUGUGGGUUCCAAAGUUGUGGACUUCACCCUGAACAUAUUUAAGGUCUUGAGUGAUACACUGAAGCCAGGGGUCGACGCCGCGCUUCCGGUCCUCAAAAGUGCUGGCGAGGAAGCGCUUAAGAUUGCUUUGCCGGUCGUUUCAGAUGCUUCUAAGCUGGCCAAGGAGGCUCUUCAGAGUGCUGGUGUUGAUCCCAGCCCUGUUUUGUCUGCUGCCAAGGUUGAUCCCUGUUAUUUCUUUCUAUUUCUUGUUUGAAUUCGCCAAUUUCUUCGAAUGCUUUAAUCGGAUCAUUAUACGAUGAUAUUUUAAUAUCUUAUAUUCAACUCUGUAGACCUAACACUUAUCAGAUCGUGUAGUUAAUGUUGGAUCAGAUUGUUUGCAUGUGUGGGAUCUUUUCAAGUUUCAAUGUACCAUAUUAACUACUUCACAUUCUUAUUGAGUUUUUGUAAACUCCACAAAGUUAUUUAACAUUCAUGACAAGUAAAUUGGUUUGCUCAAAGACUGAUACUUUUUUUUAUGUCAGUAGACAGUUGCAGAUGCUGCGAAGCAGAGCACAAAGGUCAUAGAAGGCGCAAAGCCUAUUGCCUCUGCCACUGUUGAGACAAUUGCAUCAUCGGAUCCUUCGGUGAUUGUUGUAUCAGCUGGAGCUUUAUUUCUUGCGUAUCUUCUCCUUCCGCCAAUUUGGUCAGCAGUUUCUUUCAAUCUUCGGGGUUAUAAAGGUACAUUAUUUGGUUCAAGGCUAUGAAAUUUUCUUUUCUUGCCCACAUAGUUUUUAAGAAUUAGAUUUUGAGAAGGUGGUUCAACAUAUCUUUAAUCAGGAAGAAGCAUUACGUCGCAGAGGAAUGCUAUGGCAAUUUCCAUACUAUGAAGAAGGAGAAAAUGUUUUAGUUUAUUAUCUAUGCUGUGUUUAAUUUCGUCAAGUUACAGUGGAUUGAAUCGAAAAUAUAUGGUGGAGUUCUUGGAAAUUGUUUCAACAGAAAGUAUGGCUAAAAUUGUUUUGAUGGCAACGCUCGCUCUAACGGAAAAAAACUUUUUGAUCAAAACUUUUUUUGUAAUUGUAGACAGUUCAUUUAAUUGAUUUGAGAUUUCAAAAUCCGCAAAAGCUACUAGUGAAUGACACAAGAAAAUAGCUCUGGUACUCUAUGAGUAAGAUAGUAAUGUUUUUUUUUAUAUUUUUUAUUUUCAUAUAGCCUGAGUUGUAAGUGAUUUGUUUUUUUUUUUGUUUUUUUUUUUUUAAAGAGUGUAAAAAACAUGGGAACUUAGAAAGAUCUGAGAUUACACAUCUACAGUUUCUGUGUUGGAGGUGGUCUUCAUGACUUCAUGUUAAUGUCGAGUUCAUUAAUUUCUCUUUUUGGUAGGCGAUCUCAGCCCUGCUCAAUCUCUUGACCUUAUUUGUUCGCAAAACUAUCUUAUGAUCGAUAUACGGUCGGAGAAAGAUAAGAGUAAAGCUGGAGUACCUCGGCUCCCCUCUAGUGCCAAGAGCAAGAUGAUCUCUGUGCCGUAAGUCUUUUCCCCUCAUAGCUUCUUACUUCAAGCAAUUACGGAAUAACCUGACAAUGGAACCCCAUUUUCUGUAGUUUGGAGGAACUACCUAGCAAGAUAAAAGGCUUGGUGAGGAAUGUGAAGAAAGUUGAGGCAGAAAUAGUCGCAGUAAAGAUUUCGUACCUCAAGAGAGUCAACAAGGGUUCUAACAUCGUACUAAUGGACUCGUAGGUUUUAUUUAACUCAACUUUUACUUUAUUAAUCACUUUUUUUUUGUUAUUUGUGGUUUUAUUAGAAUAAAGUUCCUGAAGUUUGAUUUCCAUUUUAAUGUGACUCAAUUUUGAGAAUAUUGUAACUGAAUGCUCCUCCCGCGUAACAGUUUUGAGUCUGAUCAAUAUCAUUGUUACAGUUUUCUUAGGUUGGUAGACUAAAAUUGUUUGCGGAAAACUUAAAGGUGAAACAGAAAUUCUGAGAGCACAAUUGAAAUCUGAAAUCGGACUUUACGGACUAAAUAAAAUUGUUUCGAUCUCUCAAUUUUUUAUUUCCCCUGUUAAUGAGAGUAUGUUGCUGAAAUAUGCAGGUAUUCUGAUACGGCGAAAACUGUUGCGAGGGCGCUAACUGGUCUUGGCUUCAAGAACUGUUGGGUCAUGAAGGGUGGCUUCUCUGGGGGAAAUGGAUGGUUGCGAAGCGGACUAGGGACGGACUCGUACAAUUUGUCGCUCGUCGAGGUUUUGUCACCUUCAAGAGUUAUCCCAGCGGCCGCUGCGCGGUUCGGUACCACAAGCUCGACUGCUUUCCAGUCAAACAGGAAGCUUCUUCCGGGGAGUGCUGAUUAGUUUAUAUAUAUUUUUUCUACCGCAGCUCUUGUUGUAAUCAGUAAUUUGUAACUUUGAGAUAGAUUCGUCGUCAGUUUAUACAAUAUGCCGUUUCUUUGUGUCAUCAGUUGUAGUGUUGUAUGUGAAAUUAUUCAUUUCAUUUUACUCGGACCACAUAGUUGCCAUGGGUUCGCAUUCUCUUAAAAUGGAAAAGGAUAAUAUUUAGUGGCUUGUAAAAUUGAAAUUUAUUAGCUGAUUCUUGUUUGAUGUGACAGAUCAGGUUUGGACAAUAAUUACGUGUGAGUCGCGACUAAAAAAGGACGGGUGCUAUUUUUAUCGCUUGCGCUAGAGAUGAUUUGUAGGAAAAUUAGCAAGAGUUUUUAUUUUUGUUCAUGAUUUUGGAACUUUGAUGAGACUCUUUUGAGGUUACGGUGUUUAAAAAUAUCCGUAAAAGAGAGGUGGUAUGAAAAAAAUCGAAUCGGAUCCUCAUGUAUUAGUAUCCGACCCGGUAACAUCCCUAUCUUCUUUUUAAAGCUUGCUACCGAACUUGACCAACCAUUCCAAUUAUUCGUCCAAUCACGUACUCUUUUUCUUUUUUCAAAUAAAAAAGUUGUGCUCGAUUUUAGCCCUUCGCCCACUACUAAAUUGCUUCUCCCUCCCUACUCACAAAAUAAAAGAAAAGGAAAAAUUGCAACAUUUUCGGGUUUUUCGGGUUAAUUUUUUUGAGGAUCACGUUAAUGUAAAUAAAUCCGAACCCGCAGCAUAACCAAGAGUGGCGUCGUCUUCUUACUCGUCGUCGUCGGAGGAGGAGAGAGAGAGAGAGAGAGAGAGAGAGCGAUAGAGAGAGAAACACGCGGCGGAGCUCGGCGGAGAGUAUAGAGGGGUGCGAAUGGCGUACGCGGCGCUCGAUCGGAUAUGGUCGGAGGACAUCGCCGCCGUCGGAGUGGCAUCGGACGAGGCCGAGAAGCUCCGCGUGGCGCUCCGUGAGGUGCUCCGGGAGUCCGGGAGCUCGGGACCCGAGGCGUGGAGGGAGAUAUCGAAGCGCCUCCUAAACCCUAAUCUCCCGUUCGCUUUGCAUCAGAUGCUGUACUACGGGUGCUACAAGGAUUACGAUUCCGAUACUCCCCCCGCGUGGAUUCCGAACAUGUAAUCCCCUCUCUCUCUCCUCUAUCUCGAGGCUAAUAAAAGAAUUAGAAAAAGAAAAUAGAUGUUUUAUGAUAUUAGGUUGUUGAAAUUUGGUUUUCAAAUGUUUAGUCGGAGUCAUUUCUGGGUUGUUUAGAUUCAGUUGGAUGCAGAAGAGCUUGUAGGCGAAAUUGGAAAAGUUAAUAAGCUAACUACUCGUGGGUUAAAUCUUGUAAAUUUGAAGUAGCGUGAUGCGAUUAGAAGUAGCAAGAUGAGUUUUUGGCGACAAAGUUUCGUUUCCUGGGGGAGGAUAUUGGAGAAAAGGAGAAUAAAGAUUAGUUUUUUUAAGAUACCGUACUAAGUUGCGUGAUUAGAUAACACUUGUAUCAUAAAAGAUGUCGUAAAAUGUUCAUCGACGAAUCUCUUUGUUGUUUGCUAUUUGCUCAGUUAUUUUUCUGUCGCGACUGUUCCUCGAAAUUUUGUUGAAUGGCUAAGUAUGAAUGAGCAGAGAGGAAGCAGUCUCAACAAAUAUUGGUCGGUUAUUAGAGAAGCGCGGGAAAGAAUUACUUGGCUCGGCAUAUAACAAUCCUAUAGCUAGCUUUUCGGACUUCCAGAAAUUCUCUGUCUCGAACCCUGAGGUAUUUCUGGAAAAUUCCCAUUGUUGGUUGUUCAUUAUGUAAUAUUACGAACGCAAUUGGUCUCUAUGUUUUUUUUUUUUUUUUAAUAUUCUCCUUACAGGAAUACUGGAAAAUGAUUUUUGAGGAGAUGAGGAUAAAAUUCAGCGUGCAGCCGUCAUGCAUUCUGCGUGAAAGUGAUUCUUAUCCUGGAGGUCAAUGGUUACCCGGGGCUUAUUUAAAUUCUGCUGAGAAUUGCUUGAUUUUGAAUGGUAAAAGAGAUGCCGAUGAUGUCGUGGUGAUAUGGAGAGAUGAAGGCUGUGAUGACAUGCCUGUCAAUCGAAUGACACUUGAGGAAUUGAGAGCAGAAGUCUGGUAAUGUUUAUAUCAUCAAAAGAGCCGUCUACUUUUGAACCUUUUUUCUUUGGCUGUCUACUUUCAAUUUGAAUGUGCUUGUUUUUUCUUUAAUGCUCGAAUGCGUCUGCUCUUGUCAUCCUAUUUGUUUCUCCGGUUAAAAUGGGAAUGCAACUUGUCUUUUCUUUUUCCUUUUUUUCUUAUUGAAGAACACUUGUUUUCUCUACUAGUUAUCUCAUCUUAAUCUUAUUUCCAUUAUGUGUCCCGAGAGUUCUUUUUCCAGGAAAUCUUUUUUUUUUUUCUAUUGAUAUAUCUAAGAUAAACUUUUAUUAUUCAAGUUGGUGAAAAGUAAUAAUGGCAUUUAAUUUUGCAGUACUGUGGCUAAUGCACUGGACUCACUGGACUUGGCAAAAGGAUCUGCUAUUGCAAUUGACAUGCCGAUGCAUGUGAAUGCUGUAGUCAUCUACCUUGCUGUUGUGUUAGCAGGCUAUGUGGUCGUCUCCAUUGCUGAUAGUUUUGCUUCUACUGAAAUAUCAACAAGACUCAAAAUUUCAAAUGCAAAAGCAAUUUUUACUCAGGUCAGCAUUUAUCAUUGCUGAAUUGGAUGAUUAACUGGCGAGUUAUGCUUUUUUUUCUCUAAAGCUGUAAUAUUUUCUCUAGCCGGCCUAGACUUGCCUAUUUUGCCUAUGCUUAAGCUAAUCUUUGUAUUAUUGGCAUACAAUUGCUGUCUUUCUUUGCUGGCAAAUCUGUAAUGCUGGUAGAUAAGAUAAAUGUCCUUGAGUCCUCUUACAGAUGAAAUUCAGAGUUUGAGUAUCCAUUGAAUCCUAUCAUUUUGGUUUAUUUUUUAUUAUGCAGCUCUUUACUCUUUCGAAGCGAUUUUGAACGCUCGUUUACUAUUUAACUUUAUGGUUGUAGGAAUAUAUCAUUCGUGGUGAAAAGAAACUUCCCCUAUAUAGGUGCUGUAAUGGUCUCUUCUUUUCAUAUACGCCAGACCUGGUAGAUUAUAACCCUUUCUCACGCUGUAAUUUUGGUAUUUCAGUAGAGUUGUUGAUGCUCAUGCUCCGCUAGCUGUUGUGCUCCCUACAAAAGGCUCCAACUUCAUAGCAGGAUUGCGUGACGAUGAUAUAUCUUGGCAUGACUUCUUGGGAAGAGUGAAACAUAUCAAGUAUGAAUUAUGAAAGCCUUUUGCUCAUGUGUUCCCUUUUCUCUUUCCACUUUUAUAAUAAAAAUAUGGUUUUUUUUGGUCAUUUAUAUUCUCAGGAUUCCCUGUGAGUUGAGUAUCUUUUAAAUAUUUUGAAUUGUAUGAUGAGAGAUCAUGGUCAAGUGUGGUGCUAACUUUCGUCAAAUUGCACUAACACCUAAUAAUUCGAAUCUACUUGCUUUUCUAUUCCAAGUUUCCGAUGAAAGUAGAUAGUAAUUUAUCUCAUGAAGUAUAUUCUUGUAGGCGUUGUACAAUGUUUCUCUAUUUCUAGAUAUAUAAUGAAGUUUCUCGAGCUUUGGAGAAUAUAGAUCUAAAUCGACUAUCACACACAGCGGAUAUUUAGGAAGUUCUAAAUCUUUAUUACUUAUUUGGAAACUACAGAUAUAAUGAUUACGUGGCAGUAGAACAACCCAUAGAGGCCUUCACAAACAUCCUCUUUUCCUCGGGGACUACAGGUGAGUUUCAUUGUUCUUAAUAUUGCAGCCUUUUUCUGCAUCCUAUAAACAAAGGUAGGCUUCAGUAGUUGUAAUAGUUGUGUUUUCAAUAAUUAUGUAGAGCUAAAUUAGGUUCCUUGGCCUAUUAUCACAAUAACAGUAUCACCUAAACAUUAUCAGAUAUCACCAGUAGUCCUAAAUACUAUCUAGCUUGCUUCUUUUCCUUUUUCCUUUGCUUGGAAUGCUGUUUAUGCUGAAUGGGUACAAGGAUACAGCACAAAAUGGUGUAUAACAGAAAAAUCACGUGCAGCAUGUGUGUAUAUCAUGUUAAAUCAAAUAUGUAAGUUGCGACCUUGCAGCCUUAGUGUGUCAGUGAAAGUUUCUAUGUUCAUUCUUAUAUGUACUAACAUAUAUAUAUAUAUAUAUAUAUAUAUAUAUAUACAAGGAUUUAAGUGUCGUGGCACGAGGUUGUGUCGGAAACUUACCGGCACGGUGCGUGCCGAGCCGUGCCGAGCCGUACCGAUACGUGCCGGUCAAAAAAAUUCUUGUGUGCCGACACAUAAUAGUAUGAAAUAUUUAUUUUCUUUAGCAACAAAAUAUUCUAACUAUUUAUUAUGUCCUUUUAUCACAUCUUUUGAACUUUAUUGAGGAAAUUACUUACUAAUUUAAAGAAUAGAAGGUUUUGAGCUGUGCCAUCGGCACGGGAUCUGUAUCGUGCCGGUAUCUUGUUGGCACGAUACGGCACAGUGGAUACGGUCCGUGCCGACGGGCACUUAAAACCUUGUAUAUAUAUAUAUUUACAUCUAAAUGAAGCAUAUACCAGUAUUGAAUCCUUCACCAGAUAAAGGAGUGCCAAACUUGGACAAAGGAAAACUUGUUAGGAAAAUUUAUUUCGUAAUGUUUAAGUCCAUAAAAAGUCCAUGAAACCUCCCCACUUCUUCCAAACUUAAUUUUGGAUUUUUUAUAAUAAAUUAGUUUGAUUAAUUUCUCAUCUAGUAUAAGCUUUUCUGUGGGUCUUUGGAUAUUUAAUCAGUUAUAUCAUAUUUCAUUAUUCCCAAAUGUCAAAUUACCUUCUUUGUUUGUCCUUUCUCAGGGGAACCAAAGGCAAUUCCAUGGACACACGCAACUCCUCUAAAGGCUGCUGCUGAUGCAUGGUGUCAUAUGGAUAUCCGCAAGGGUGAUGUUGUUGCAUGGCCUACUAAUCUUGGUUGGAUGAUGGGCCCUUGGCUUGUUUAUGCCUCAUUACUGAAUGGAGCUUCCAUGGCACUAUACAACGGCUCCCCUCUUGGUUCAGGUUUCGCAAAGUUUGUGCAGGUACAUUAAAUUCAGACACAAAAUUCUUGGAUAUGAUGAUACUUUUGACUGGUUAGCCACAUUGCUUUGCCUUCUCUUUUGGACUCGGUGGGCACUUGGUAGUGUACUUACCCAAUGUUUUAAUGGCUUCUCAUCUGCAUGUAUUUACACUAUUUAUUGUCUUCUUCUUGAUACUAUUGAAUUGUGUGAACAACUUACAAAACUCAAAAAACAUUUCCGCUUAUAGUACGGAAACUUUUUUUUCCUUUAAUUGGUAGGAUGCUAAGGUAACAAUGCUUGGCGUGGUUCCAAGUAUUGUCCGUGCUUGGAAAAACACAAAUUGCACUGGGGGCCUUGAUUGGUCUACUAUUCGGUAAGAUAAAGUUCCAGAUUGUGCAGCUUUUCAGUUUUCAUAUGUUACCUUAUCAGUUUAGCGACCAUAGGAAUAGAAGUGCAUCGAGUUGCUUUCCCAAUUCCCGUACUAGAAGUCGUGCCCACAUGAUCUUCUUUCUUUUCUUCUUUACACAUUGGUAGAUGCUUUGGCUCCACUGGAGAGGCAUCUAGUGUAGAUGAGUACCUAUGGUUGAUGGGAAGAGCGAACUACAAGCCUGUCAUUGAGUACUGUGGAGGCACAGAGAUUGGAGGCGGAUUUAUUACCGGCUCACUGCUACAGCCUCAAGUGUUAUCUGCAUUUAGUACACCUGCUAUGGGAUGCAGCCUAUUUAUUCUUGACAGUGAUGGAAAGCCACUAGUAAGUUUAAUUCAGCAUCUCAUUCUUUAAUGGAAGCUUGCAUAAAUGUGGUUAAAAUUGUUAAUCCUUUCAUUUACUGUAGUUUAGAAAUUUAGGGCUUUUAGGAAAAGUUUUGCAAGCAAUUGCUAAGCAGUGUUUACCAUGUUCUGUUCUUUAAAUUGUAGAAGAAGCUUGCAUAAAUGUGGUAAAAUUGUUAAUCCUAUCAGUCAAUGUAAUCUAGAAAUUGUAUUAGGGGUUGUAAGAAAAGUUUUGCAUGCAAUUGCUAAGCAGCGAUUACCAUGUUCUUUUCUCUAAAUUGCAGCCGCCGAAUAAAGCUGGGAUUGGAGAGCUAGCUCUUGAUCCAACAAUGUUUGGAGCAUCUACCACCUUACUAAAUGCUAAUCAUUAUGAUGUCUAUUUCGCAGGCAUGCCAGUUUGGAAUGGGAAGGUAAUAGUAAAUCUGAGCCUUUGUUGUCGCCCCAAAGAAUUUGUAUGUUUUCAAUCUAAGAUAUCAAAUGCAGGUUCUCCGAAGGCAUGGGGAUGAAUUUGAACGGACAGCUGGAGGGUAUUACAGAGCACAUGGUCGUGCAGAUGACACUAUGAAUCUUGGUGGCAUUAAGGUUAAACUCGAAACAAAAGUAAAUCGACUCCAAGACCAUAACUAAGCUUACGUAAUUCAAUUGAUAUCACUGUUUGAUAUUUAUGCUUAGGUAAGUUCCAUUGAGAUCGAAAGAGUUUGUAAUGGAGUUAAAGAUACAAUUCUCGAGACUGCUGCUGUUGGGGUCCCACCGCUUGGUGGUGGUCCUGAACAGUUAUUCUUGGCAGUCGUCUUCAAAGAUCAGAGUAAUGUGAAAGAAGACCUGGAUCAAUUGAAGAGGGAAUUCAACUCUGCUUUGCAGAAGAAACUGAAUCCUCUCUUUAGGGUACUCUUUUACCUUUUGCUGAUAUUCUUUCUUUUCCUUGCUUGGAAGGUGGUAUGUGAAAUGUGUACAAACACAUAAUAUUUCAUUAUCUUUUCCCUCUUAACAGGUUUCAUCUGUCGUUGCUGUGCCAUCUCUUCCUCGAACCGCGUCAAAUAAAGUCAUGAGAAGAGUUCUGCGGAAAGAAUUCUCUCAGCAGAGUCAACGGGCUAAAUUCUAAACAAUCCGAUCUUAUCUAUUUACAAUGUCACAAGUUGAUGCUGCAGUGUAUAGUAUGUCUCCUGUAAUCUCCGAAUUCUCUCAAGUAUAUUAAUUGUUAUGCAUUCUCUGUCCUUUUCUAAAUUUUCAGAUAAAGCAAUUAUUCUCCAUGCAGCUAUUAUUGCUGCUAUCAGAAAUGUAUAAUCUGCUUAAUACCAUUUCUAGUUUGAAAACAAAAAAUGUUAUUAACUAACAAAUUUUGAAUUUUUCGGAGUACACAACUUAAUUGCAAUUUAGGGAUCUACACUCUCAGCAUCUGAAGCAGCAUGUCAUUCCACACAUCUAUCGGCCCAGGCAAACACCAGUGCACGCAAUCGUUGUACAGUGUAACUUUCUCGUUCGCCCGGUGCCCGUAUCUGCUUGGGUGCCCAUCGGGCCUCAACAACAUUGCUUCUGUAGUAUCCAUCAGCAUAAGUUUCACCCCCUUCUUUCUCGCUUCCUUCUCCGCUUCCCUAAAUUCCUCUACUUGCAUGUUAUAAAACUCGGCCUCCAAUCCCUCCAACCUUGUAUCAUUGCUUCGAAACGGCCAUGUCCGCAUACAGUUUCCUCCCUUGUUCCAUUCUCCAUUCUCAAAGUGAGAUGGUGACACCGUUCUUAAAAUCAUCUUUCCUUUGAAGUUAAGCUCAUUGAUGGUUCGGAGUGCAGUUCUAAAAGCCAUUCGGUGAGAGUAGCGGAGAGUUAGGUCCGUCACAUUGUCGUCUAGGCAGUAGUGGCAGCCAACGAGCCGACCCUUCUCGUAGAACAUUGAGGAUCGAGUGAACCAGUUGCUUGCUGACAUGAUUAUGUAGUCGAACCGGCUUAUUUGGGAGGCCCAAUUGUCGUCGGCUUCAUCGAGGUAGAGGUUCCAUAGGCCGGUGUGAGUUGGGCCGUUUGAAUCUAUUUCAUGGGCUUUGAUCAGAAAAGGGGACCAGAAGAUCAAAAUGGUGAAACCGUAGCUUCUGAAGAUCAUGCGUUUGAAGUUUGGGUCCCUGGAAUCAGAGAUGUCCUUUGGGUGCUCUACCUGAAAAAAAAAAAAAUUAUAUUUUGCAAGCACUGAUCCCAGAAAUUUCGUGUGCUAUGCUCUUUAUUACUAUGUAUGAUUUUUGAUUCUUUUCAUCUUCACCUGUAUUUCUAGUUAACAUAAUGCAUCAUUAAUAGUUACAAAUAUGAUUCUAUAAUGGUAAGAUUUUAUAUGUCUGAAAACGCAUUCAUGAUUAUUGUAGAUAACAGAAUAGAGUUCAAAGCGAUCGACAAGAAGUUGAACCUGUGACAUUCAAGACUGUAUAGAGAACUUCAGGAGAAGAAAUCAUCAGAAUGCCAUAACUGAAUCAUCAUAUGCGAAUGCAGCAUCAGGUAAUCUACGCCUUCUCACCCAAUGGCAAACAAUCCUAAUACAAUAGAUGAAGCUUGAUUUUUAUUUUUUUUUUCCCUUUUCUGUCUUUAUGGGCCUUUGAUAGUGAGAUCUAAUUUCAAAUGGGUCUUUACUUGCUGUGUAAACUACAAUACAUUCUACUGCUGAGAAUUUUUCAAUCAUGGAUUUGUGUGGCUUCAGGUCAGACUGGGUGUACACAUUUUAUUUACAUAGUCAAUAAUUAUUAGUAAAUCUUUUGAGGGAUUUCCAUUCGAUGCAAAUCGAAAAAUCAUAUUUUCUAAAUAAUAUUGGCUGUGUCAUUACCUUUGACAAGAGACACAUCAAGGACUGCAUAUGGUUCCUAGCCAAGGAGUCCCCCACAAAUGCCAGGGAUCUGUUCCUCAUGAGAUCGAGGAACCUCUCUGGGUCGAACCGCGGGAGUUUGCAUCCCUCGGGCUUCCAUUUCCACUUCAAGAAGUUGAGGUCUGGUUUGCCAUACUUGAUGCAGUUCUGGUGCUCUUGGAUCAUAAAACAAGUCAUGUUUGUGUAGUAUGGCAUCUCCGGAUCCCAAAUCCAUUCUCCCUUGAAUAUGUUACACUCUUUAACCAAGCUAAUAGAAUUCGAAUUAGGAGGAAAGGGAGAAGAAGAAGAAGAAGAAGAAGAGGAAGAGGAAGAGGAAGAGGAAGAAGAAAGAGGAGGAUCACUUGUAGGAGAAAAAGAAACUUUGUAUGGGUUGGGGUGAAGAAAAGAGGGCUUAUAUAAGCUGAUGAUGGUGAAGAAUAGAAGGAUUAGCGCUGAAACGAAAACUAAUUUUGAAACACUUUGUAGGUUGUGAUGAUGCCUCAAGAAGGGGAGUUUGAUUAGAGGAGACCUCAUUGAAGAGUUAGAAGAGGAGGUCAGAGAACCAAGGUAUGAAUUAGCGCUUGAGACUCAGAAAGAACGGGGCUAGUUCCUUUAUUUUCGUUCAUAGAAUAUAUCCAGUGUUGGAGUUUAGGUAAGUGUCGUGCGGGCCAUGUUCUCCACUUGUUUGUAUAUAAAAACUUAUAUUAUCUGAUUCACAUGGCUGAGUUGGCACUACAAGCCCAUCUCAUCAUCUUCAAGCUUCAACCCUUAGAUGUGUUGUUGAUUUCGUCACUAUUAUUAUCUUAGGUCUUCCAAACCCACUUCUAAUAUUGGUCCACAUCGAUUGAGGUUACAAAUAGAUCGUUUGCAAUAAUCUAUAAAUUCAAUAGUAUAUUUCUUUCAAAGAUCGCUCAUGUGAUUCUCAUGGCCACCGACAUAGACUAGAGGCACUGAUUGACUAAGUAAAUUAAUUUUUCAGUGGAAGCAGUACUGGACUGCAUGUCUUGUUUAAAUUACUAAUAAUAGUUUUGGGGGCAAGAACAGAUCACAAUGUCAGGUGUAAUGGUCCUGUUUUAUGCUGGGUGUGUGUGUGUGUGUUGUAAUUUUCAGAACUCCAGGCUGGGAAACUAAUAUUUUUAUAAACAAAUUAAGAUCACUGUCAGAUCUUGGGAAGACUUUACUUAGAGUUAGGGAUUCGGGAUUCUCAAACGAUAAUCCAACAUGCAGGAUUCAAAGAGCUUUUAGGUAGGGGAUUCUCAAAAGAUAGUCUAAAAUGCAGGAUACGAAAACCUUUUAGGUAGAGGAUUCUCAAAAGAUAAGUCUAAAAUGCAGAAUACAAAAGCUCUUUUAGGUGGGAUUAUGGGAAUGCCAACGGAUCAAGCCAACUAUCGGGUCGAGCUUACGAGAACAAAGGCUUCAUCAUAUGUUUUAGCUUAAUCACUUGAUCAUACACAUGUUAGCAUCCAUGUGCAUAGCAUGUGUAUAUGUAUAUGAUCUAAUAAUAUUAUUGAGAUAGAUAUUUCUGAAGCCAGCCAAGGAGUUGGUGCUUUUGAUUUUGAGUCCUUAGAUGGAGGUGUUGUAAUGGCUGGAUAAGUAAUAGCCCACUUGGGUUGAGUAUGUAGGUGGAAUGUAUUUGAUUCGAAGAGGCUAUUAGUAGUCAAAGGUAGAUUUUGGGCUAAAAACCUAAAAACACAAUAGGUUGGUGCUUUUAAGAUGUAUUCUUAAUCAAUAUAUAUAUCUAUAUUAUUAAUAUAUAUAAUAUAUAUAAUAUAAUAUAAUAUAUUAGUAGGGCUAUGAAUACUCUGUAAAAGUAUCAUGGGAUGAUACUUGUUGUUUUUAGCCCUUAGAUGGAGAGAUGUGAGGUUGAGAUAAGAUGUGGUAGGUGGCUGAACAUAGUGUUUAAUCCAAGGCUAUUAUAAUCAAAAAUCGAUCCAGACUGCGCUUAAAACCUAAUAGCACCAUGUAUAUACUUGUAAAAAGUAUCAUAGCUCACUCUAUAUACUAUAUAUAUAUAUCUUAUAAUUAUAUAUAGUAUAUAAUAUAUAUCAUAUAAGAAGCAUGACUGUUGUACUCCUCAAGGAGCAGGAGGCCCUCUGGCUCCUGAGCUGUUUUCGGAUGAUGGAAUUCGAAUGCGAACAGUCGCACCCUCCGUUAGACUUGAUCUAGCGUAUUUGAAGUUUCUAGAAAAUAUUUUUUGUGAUUUUUCGAUAUCAUUUACCUAGCAAUCGAAAGGAUUCAAAAUCAAUAAUUUUUAACGGCUGAAAAUAAAAUUCCUAUAAAAAGUGGUGAUAUAGCACUAAAACUUUCGAUCAGAAAUAUUGAUCUUGUUGUAGAUAGUAUAAAGAAUGUUGUAUCAAAAUUUUAUCUGAUUUGAAUACUUCUAUACCGUUAAACUUGAAACAGCAGAUAUUAACCAUUAAAAAUUAUUGACUUUGAAUCCUUUCGAACACUAGGUAAAUGAUAUAAACAAAUCACAAAAAUUAUUUUCUAGAAACUUCAAAUACGCUAGAUCAAGUCUAACGGAGCCGAUCAUCUAUUCGAAAAUACCAUCAUCGAAAACGGCUCAGGAGCACGGAAACUUCCAUGCUCCUGAGAGCACANGAGAGAGAGAGAGAGAGAGAGAGAGAGAGAGAGAGAGAGCGAGUGAGCUUGAAAUUUGAAAUUGUUCAGAUACUUAACAUGGGUUUCUGGGAGGAGAGAGAGAGAGAGAGAGAGAGAGAGAGAGAGAGAGAGAGAUAGAGCAAAAUUUGAAGGGUGGUGGAGAAGAUGGCAAAGAGAGAGCACUUUCAGAGGCCGAGGUCACAGAUGCCUACCUUUAUGAAAGAAUGGCAAGGAAAGAGACAGUGCAGAAAAGUAUGUAUGUGAAGCAUAAAAAUGGUGUCAAUUUAAAACAAUCAACAUCGAUCUUCAUAGAUGUUGGACCUCACUAGUCUCAGUACUAACACUAGCUGUUGCUUUCGCGGGGCUUGUCCGUCCGAUGCCCGAUUGGUCCAGAGCUCCAGCGCAGGCCGGAAAGACCGGAUCGGUGUCUCAUCUUUUAGGUUAGUGAAGCAUCCGAUGGCUACACUUGAGAAGCAUGCAUGGGCGCGGUGAAAGGCAAGUAUUCAAGAUAUGGUCCCGACAUGUUGUACGUGACGACACACUUGCGAUCGUCGAUCACCUGCUCCUCAUGUUGUUUGUGGAUAGGAAAAUAAAAUAUAUAUAUAUAUAUAUAUAUAUAUAUAUAUAUAUAUAUAUAUAUAUAUAUAUAUAUAUUGGAUUGAGCUCCUAUAUUUUUAAAAAUACAAGUCAUUGAUGCUUGUCAGUCUUCGGCCCUUGGAUUAAGAGAUAUACGGUUAGGAUGAUAGUUAUCUCCUAAGGUUGAGUGGGUAAUUGGUUGAAUAGUAUGAUCUAACGAAUGAAAAUAAUCAAAGUGGUAGAUCUAAAGGCGAAAAACUUACAAGCAUGAUGUGCUUGGUACUUUUGAAGGCACCAUGCCGGACUCUAAUUACUGUAUAUUGUUAUGAACAUGUAUAUAUACAGAUAUGAUGGGUUUGAAGAUGAUCUUAAAGAUCCUUCACAACUGGGAUUUUGGGUAGUGAUCGCAUAAUCAAAUAAUCACUGCCGACGUUCCCAAUGACUGAUUUUGAUCUACGUAAAGUAUUAUAUUUUUUAUGGGGAAGAAUUUGUCUGGGAAGCAACUAUGGAGAUUCUGCCGCACUAAGAAAAAGGGACAAAAAAAAGGGGGGGAAAAAGAAAAAAACUGGCCGAAGUUUAAAAUCAUAGAAUUAUAGCAUAAUUGAUAAUUGUUAGCAAUUUUUUUGAUGCCAUUUGCGUUUGAAACAGCUGAAAAAUAAGUAAUUUUUGAUACGGGUAUUUACCUUGGACAGCACGCACAACAAGGACUGCAUGUGGUUCCUAGCCAAGGAGUCCCCUACAAAUGCCAGGGAUUUGUGCCUCACGAGAUUGAGGAACCUCGCUGCAUCGAACCGCGGAAGUUCGCAGCUCUCGGGCUUCCACCUCCACUUCAAGAAGCUGAGGUCCGGCCUCCCGUACUUGAGGCAGUUCUGAUGCUCUUGGAUGGUGAAACAAUUCUUGUUUGUGUAGUACGGCAUCUCCGAAUCCCACUUCCAUUUCCCCCUGAAUAUGUCACACUCUGUCAGGUUAACAAAAUACGCAGCAGCGUCCUCAUCCGCAGCACCGGCAGACGAAGCGACCAGCGCGUCGUAUAGGGUGAUCUUGGUAAAGAAUACAAGGAUCAACACGACGAGCAAGACGAAUUUCGGAAAGCUCUGCGGGCUGUGGCGAUGCCUGGAGAAAGGGAGUUUGAGCAGAGGGGACUUCAUUGCGGAGUUGCGCGAGAAGAAGGCCAGGGAACAAAGGUGUGAAUCAAUACUUAUUGUGGUUAAAUAUUUCCACUUCUUUGGUGCGAAUAUAUUUAGUGCUUGUCGCUUUGGUUAGGUGUUGUGGGGGGACCAUGUUAUCAUCACUCGCCACUUCGUUGUUUCUAGGAGAAGCUAUAUAUUAUCAAAUUCACGAACGUGUGUGGGUCUGGCGCCACAGCAAGCCCAUCUAAUCAUGCCUUUGCUUCAUUCAUUUUGGUGUGGCACAGUGGUGUUGGCGUUAUCGCCACUAUUUUUAUUCCCGAUCGCUCAACGCCACUUUAAAUGCAAGUUGUGUAAAUUUCCUUUCCGAAAUCGCCCAUGUGACUCUCGCCAUCACCAUUACAGAGCAUCAGCGGGGCUCUUUAUUGCGAGUCGUAAUCAGAGAACGGUGUUUUCAUACUUUUACGUAGCGAAGGUGAAGUAAUAAGACAUUUUAGCCAGGACGAUUGACGGUCGGCCGACAAAAUUAGGAAAAAAAUUUGUAAGUUGCUGUUUGCUGGUUUGCAAAAGGAUGGCAGAGCAGGUAGGCAGUCUAUUUGUUAGUAGUAGUAGGUCAGCCGACUGCCCUUUCUUAAUGCGGUAAUUUCAAAUCUCCAGGCUGGGAGUACAGUGUCUGAAAAAAGUUUCCGAGUAAUUUUGGACGAUCUUUGAGGUGGAAAUUCUGAGAAGAUUCUAAAAUUGGUGAUGUAACUCUCUUUUGGUUAGUUAGUGAGGCUGGGGGGUCGAGCCAGCUAAUGUGGGGGGGCCCGUGUCUGUACCGCAAUGAAGAUAGAGGUAGCUUUGGUGGUCACGAUUUAAGAUCCAAAAAUUUUCUCUGACACUAAAAUUAUAAAAUUUUCACUAGAAUUAAAAUUUACAGAUUUCACUUUGAAGGAGCACAUUUAUGUCCUUGUCAUGAGCAUAAUUGAGGCCGUAAUAUGGGCCGUACUUAAAUGGGCCACACGAUGUAUGUGCUGACCCACCUCUAUUUUCGCACGAUCGCUAGUAGGCCGGUACAGUUCUUGAUCCAGACCAGGACCAGCUUGGGUUGUGCUCGGGUCGCGUCUUUUCAAUGUUAAUUUUUGUGAACUAUAUGUAGUAAUUUAUUCAAUAAAAUGAUUUUUAGAUAAAAUUUUCUUUACAAAAUAUUUAAGCUUCAAAUAGUUUAAAUUAUACUUGAGAGAAAAAGACCGCAACCUGGGGCGGCCUGCACCCAUGGCGUGGACCGUGGGCCUGCCGGGUGUGACGCCCAGUACAGCUGCGGCCUGGAUUGCAGUCCUAAUCUGCGCAACAAUGGAUCCACACAAAAAUGAAGGAUACCUGCUGCUGCUGCUGCUGCUGCUGCUGCUGCUGCUGAUGGAGAUAAGGAGAUUCUGCCCCGCGGAAAAGAACAUUGCGAAACUGGCCAAACUUUGGAGAUUGCAGUCGGAAGCUUUUUUUGGCUCAGUAGUUGUUAUCAAAGAUAGCCUUUCACAAAAUGGUCCUUCAGAAAUGUUAAAGGGGAUCUGUCGAUCCUCAUCCACAGGAAGUUUAUGUGGACUACAUGAUUCAGGUUUAUCUUGCAUCCCAUGCAUCGUGGAAUUCCACAGCUACAUGACCCUUGUAAACCCCACCCCAAAGAUGAUGUCCAAUCAUAAGAAUAACGUAGUUUGUAAAUUAUUGUAAAAUUUGUUGGUAAGUACAGCAUUACUCCUCUGUGACCCGAGCACUUAUAAAACAUAUUUGUCUCGUCCCAUUAGAGUCCGUACUUCUAUAUAAUGACUCGGCAAUAAUAAGUGCAAGCUCUAACCAAAGAAAAGCUCAUCUCUCGUACGUGCUAUAUACAGCACCAUCUAGGUUUCUCUCUCUCUCUCUCUCUCUAAUAAGUAUCUUCUUUUCAUUUUAGCAGUCACUAUACAUUUUCAAUUGAAGUUAGUAUUGAAUGAAGCGGGUAGCGUGCUACCUUUCCCUCAAAAAAAUAAAAUAAAAUUGAAGUUAGUAUUAAUUGUGUAAAGGAAACAACAAUUAAUGGUGAUGAUGGGCCAACAACUAGAGAGGCUAGUGGAAAGCCUCAAAUCGAAGCUAAAGUCUUUGAAGGCGAAGAAGCUUCAUUACAGCAAGGUCGAGAAGACGGAGAGCAUGAGGGUCGAGAUCAGAAGCAGAAAGGCUCAGAAGCUCAUCGCGAAGAACCUCGCCAUGGCCAACUCACUUAAUGGCCACAAGUACUACAUUUUUUGAGAUCGUAAACUCUACAUGUACUCUUUACUUUAGCCGUGAAAUUUUAGUUGCCAUAUGUAUUAGUAAUUUUAAGUAAUUUUACUUUUAGUCCAAAAAACUAUGAUAUUUCAGUGCAGAUUUGUACGGAAAAGGGCAUUCAUGUUUUGGUAUAGUUUAAUUUUUCAUGUAAUUAAUGUUUUCAAUGCACCAUAUAUCAAGAUCAAUUGCAUGUCUAGGUGCAAAAAGUACUUGAAAUUAGAUCUGCAUGAAUCACUAUAUAUAUUUUUGAAAGCCUUAUAUGGAGAGAGAGCUGAUUUAUUCACUUGUCAUAUAUAAUAACGUUAAUUAGUGCUAUCAUUUCCUAAAAAUAAAAAUUCAAAUUAUCAAAUCAUGAAUACCGAAAUAUAAUCUAUAUUUUACAUCUUUUUGAUCCAACCGAAGAGCGGAAGUGAGAGAAGAAAAAAAAAGGGAAAAAGAAAAAAUCGAGCUCAGCGAUAACCGUAGUAACGCUUGUAGUGGCUAUCGGCCCGGUUAUUCCGGAUGGCGCAGCACCCUAUCGAGUAGACGAUGAUGAGGAGGACGAGGAGCGCGACGUUGAAUAUCGACACCACCUUCCACUUGUUCUUGAUCGUCGCGAGCACGCCGGCCUUGCAGGAGUUGCAGCCGUAGCACAACUUAUCUUGGUCGUUGCUCCACGCCUUGCAGUCGGCGUCGCGCGUGUUGAGACCGGAUUUCGGCGCCACCCAGAAGGUAGCAUUCUUGUAUACAAAUCCACAGUACGUAGGAGGCUUGCAACAACCGGACUGCAUGCAUGCCGUAAUCAAGUGUUACGUACGUUGUCGUUCAUAUUGUCAAGAACAUUAAGAAUUCGACUUAAUUGUAAACAUACUAUAUAUACUUCAAUAUCUAUUUUUUUAAUAAAACGUCAAUAUAAAAUAAAUAAGUAAAACUAUUGAAACAAUUCCACACUCGAAACAUAUACUUAACGAUACAGGAUAUGAGACCCUAUGUAUGGCAAAUAUAUAUAUUUUUCGGGCUCGAUUGUUCUUUUAUUGUAAUGAUUCUUUAUGCAACAUUCUACAAUUAAUUCUCUACGUAGAAAUUUUUGUAUAGAUUAAUCUUGUUGCUCAUUAGAGCGCUGAUAAUGAAAAAACAAAGAACUAAACGUGCAAAAGUGAAUUGAUUAAAGAAUAAAUACCUGAAUGGGCGAGAGAUUCUGCUUGUAGAACUCGUUGGCCUUGGACCCGACCUCGCCGUCGAGCCCUCCGCAGAGCUUGGCGUCGCCGAUGCAGCUCUCGAUCUGCUUCCACGUGUUCCAAUCCGCAACCCUCCGCUGCAGCCAGUGGGAGUAAUCCCCGAGCCGGUACUCCUUGUACCCCUUCCCCGACACCGCCUCCCCGGCCCCGUGGUUGGUCACCACGAACGCGAACACCGCGAAGCAAAACAUGGCGAGGAUGAGGAUGAACAGCACGAAGAGGUAGACCCACAACAGGAACGAGACGCGGCAACACGACCCCAGCAGGCCCAUUAACGACACCGCGAGGAGGAAGAGCCCCAGCGCCAUCACGGGCCACUGCAGCGCCCGCUCGCACGCCGACGCCCCAUGGAUCUGGAACCACACGCCCGACCCGACCACCGGGAACGAGAUCACCAGCGUUAGGAUGUUUAGAAACCCCAGCAACCCGUUACUAACCCGAACCAUCUCUCCCUCUUUUUGCUCUUCUUCGUCCUCGUCGUCGUCUCUCUCUUUUUGCUCUUUUUCGUCGUCCUUGUCGCUGUUGUCGUCGUCGUCGUUCGUUCUCUCUUUGUAAUGGUGGAAAUGGAGGAGAGGGGGAGAGAGAUGAGUUGUGUGUUGGGGAGGGAUUUGGUUUCUCAAUAUAACUAACUAACUAACUAACUGGUUCGUGUGGGAAAUAAUACUGGACCCUGUUUAUAGACCGGUAAAAUUUUAUUUUGCUUAUUUAUUUAUUUUACAGUAAAAAUAUGUUGUUAAAUAGAAUGAUAAAAUAAUAUGAUUUACAAAUCUAAAUAUAGUAAAGUGCUGAAUUUUGACUUUACUAUUUUAUAGUUAAAAAUAGUUUAUUAAUUAUAAAAUAGUAGAAUAGUAUUUUGAAGCCACAAAGUUAAAAAAAAUAUAUGAAAGGAUGAUUAAUCACAAUUGGGUUACUUAAAGGUUUUUUUUAUUUUCUUUUUUUACAUACUAAAACUACGUACUGUAUCUCGUUAUCCACGCAUGUGUUUUGUUGUGGUCUAUAAACCAGGUGCAGGUAUAAUUUCUCAUGUUCUGAGACACUUGGAUCUUAAUUGGAUUUGCUUCGGUUGGUGUAUUAGGUGGUAGUUAUAGAGGAGGUUAUGGGAUUCAAAUUAACUAGUGGUUAACAAAAUUGGUUUUUUUUUUUUGUGGCUUUACGUAAUCUACGGUGGAAAAAUUCCCGCUUAUUUUCUAAAUAAGAAAAAAACAUAUUAGAACGAAAAAUGAGAAUAUAUAUAUAUAUAUAUAUAUAUAUAUAUAUAUAUAUAUAGAGAGAGAGAGAGAGAGAGAGAGAGAGUCCGGCUAUUAUACUCUUAUGAGUACGAUCGUCUUUGUACUCAUAAGUCGUUUUCGAUGAUAGAGCUUCCGUAUCGACGAUCCAUACCGUUAAAUAUUUUCUAGAGCAUUUAAAACUUUUAGAAAUCAAAUUUCAUAAUUUUUAGACAUCAUUUACCUUACGAUCAAAAGCUCACAAAAUUGACAAUUUUUAACAGCCGGUAUGAAAUACUUACUAGUUUAACGGUGCAAAAGAAUCGGAAUAGGUUGAAUUUUUUAUAGAAAAUUCUAUUCACUACCUAGAUAAAGAUCAAUAACUCUGAUUUUAAAUUGAAGGAUCCGAUCAUCCAUUUUUAAGAUGUCGUUCGAUUUUAAUCAUUCAUUUUAUGCCCGCUUGAUGGACAUUAUUAUCAUUUUGAAAAAUUACGAAAUUCAUUUUUUAGAAGUUUCAAAUACUCUAGAUCAUAUUUAACAGAUUGGAUCGUCGAUUCGGAAGCUCCAUCAUCGAAAACAACUUAUGAGUACGAAGAGCCCAAUACUCAUAAGAAUAUAGUAGCUGUACUCUCUAUAUAUAUAGAACUAGACUGGAAUACUAUUAAUAGCACCAAUGACUUUGUGCUAUUAAGUUUUCUGCUCUUGGAUUAAAAAAUGUACGGUUAGGAUGAUGUGGGCCCCCUAGGGUUGAGUGGGUAGUUUAGUUGAAUAGUAUAAUCAAAUGGAUGAAAUGAUAAAAGAGGUAAAUCUAAUGACAGAAAACUAGAUAGCACAAAAUGCUUCGUGCUAUUGAUAAUAUCUCAGCCGGACUCUCUCUCUCUCUCUCUCUCUCUCUCUUUCUAUAUAUAUAUAUAUAUAUAUAAAAUUGAGCUAGAAUACUUUUAGAAGCACCAACCCCUUGGUGCUUCUAAGUUUCUAGCCCUUGGACCUACUCCUUAAUUACUAAUACCCUUUGGAUCAAAUACUAUUUCACCUACCACCACCCACCACCAUGCAUCAUCUCAACCCUACAAUCAAGUUUUCUGCCGUUAGAUUUACCUCUUUUAUCAUUUUCAUCCGUUCGAUUAUACUAUUCAACCAACCACCCACUCAACCCUAGAAGGCCCACAUCAUUCUAACCGCACAUCUUUUAAUUUAAGGGCAGAAAAUUUAAUUGCGCUAAUUGUCAUUGGUGCUAUUAAUAGUAUUCCAGUCUAGUUCAUAUAUAUAUAUAUAUAUAUAUAUAUAUAUAGUCCGGCUGGGUACUAUCGAUAGCACCAAGGAUUUGAUGCUAUUGAGUUUUUUAUCGUUAAAUUUAACUCUUUGAUUAUUUUUACCCGUUAGAUUACACUAUUUAACCAACCACUCACUCAACUCUAGGAGGCCCACAGCAUUCUAACCACUCAUUUCUCAAUCCAAUAACUAAAAAAUCAAUAGCUCCAAUAGUUUUGUGCUAUUGAUAGUAUACCAGCCUAGUUUUAUAUAUAUAUAUAUAUAUAUACAUAUAUANUAAGAAAUUAAUAAUAUAUAUAUAUAUAUAUAUAUAUAUAUAUUUGCUUUUAAAAACAAAGUAAUUAAAUACUUUCCCUGUUUUGUUCAUUUUCGAAUUUGAAAUUUGAAUUGGACGUUUGCUUCGUUUUGUGCCAUUUUAUAAUUUGUGGGUAAUAAAAUGCCUCUUUUAUUCAAAUCAAGCACUAGUUACUAGCAACGUGGUUUCCUCUUCUCCUUUUUCUCUCCUGUUUCCCUCUCUCUCUCUCGUGAUUCUCGAUCUAGGGUUAGGGUUUCUUCGCUACCGACAUGGCUACUACUGCGCCCACCAAGGUAAGUGCCCCCACCCCUACCAUUCCUCUCUCUCUCUCCUCCAAAUCCCCAUCAUCGGAUCGCUGAAUCCGCUUGAAACCCUAAUGGCUCCGCGAUUUCUCUUCAUUACCCCGCAAUAUUUGGGCGAUCUCCGUGUUUCUUACUUAGUUUCUUCUCUAGCAACUAAAUGUAGGAAAACUAGAAGCUUAAUUUUGCGAUCGUAGUGUUAUAGAGUCACAAUCUCGGAUAAUGUUCGAUUCCCCUAAUUUCUUAUGCUUGUAGUAAUUCUAUUGCUGUAUAUGUUGUUGCUCUGAGACUGGAGAGUUUGAAUCGUGUUAUUGACAAAGUUGCGAAUCAGUUUACAGAUAACUUUUCAUGAGUGAUAUUCUUUACACUUUGUGCUUGAACAUGAGGUUUGUAGUUAGAAUCUUAAAAUGUCUUGAUGCUAGAAUCUACGGGAUGAAUUGUCAUAGCUUGCUUUUCCGUGUGUAAUCACUUUUUGCUGUAGGAGUUGUGGGAACACACUUAGUAUGAGUGAUUUUGUUUACCACAUUCUUACCUUCUAACUUAGUUUCUUCCAUCUUAGUGAAGAAAAUAAGCUAUAAUAAUGGAGGAGAUUUUUGACAUUCUUUUACCAAGUGGGAAGCUAUGAUGGAGUCGAUGAGAAGUGUAUAAAAAUGUCCAACUGAGUCAAUAUCUUCCUUUUAUAUCUGUGCCACAGUGAGAUGAAUCAAUUACAUGUUACAAUUAUUUGUGUUGGAAUAUUGAAAUUACUGUGUUUGUUUCAUUUCGUUCUCAUCUUCCUGUAAUAUUAUAUAUAUAUAUUGUUUCUUCUUGGAUUCCUUCAUGAUCCAUAUCAGGAUCCUUUGUUUUUCAGGUGAUUAAAUAAGCAAUCAACAACCUCCAGCUAUUCUUGAUCACGGAAGAAAACCCCUGCAUUGUGUUUUGUUAAUUCUUUCUGUAGCUUGCUAUGCCAUUACAAAUUAUACAACAUCUUUAGAGUGAAUCUGUAUAAAGAAGAAUCCAAUUUUGGUGUGCGGAAAUAUAACAGCAUUACUUUCCAGCUGGGUACCAACAUACUUAUAACCGUCUAAUCUGGUGCAUGGUUUAUAUAAAGAUUAUAAAGCUUGCAUACUCAGUCUACAGUUUCUCUGCUCUGUUAGCUGCUACAACUAUAAAUGUAACUAUUGUUUUUGUCAUUUUUGAGUGAUCAUAAACAGCCUCAUCCUGCGAUGAUUGCACUUGAAUGUUAUUGCUUUAUUAUUGAUACCUCGAGACAGAUAUGUUGCUACAAGUAAUUCACCUAAUUUUAACUUUUCAUCAUAUCUGUACAUUCACGAAGAACUUCAUCUCACUUGGUGUUUAUGGGCCUCAGAUCGCAACUUCUUCCUUUUCCUGUUCAUCUUUGUUUGUUUGUCUAAUAUGUUUACCAAUGUCAGGCUGAACAAGAAUCAGAAGGUUCGAAUCAGAGCCCUGCUGACAUGACAGUAUUUGUGAGUUACCUCAUACCCUAUUUUCUGAUGUUUUAUUUACAAGUUACAACUGGCAAUAUAUGAAGAAAAAACUAGAAUUUUCUUUCCAAAGUUUGAUCAUUAAUUUGAAAAUUCACUGAAGCAGUACUAAUCUAAUCUGGAAACUAUUCAAGGUUUUCUGAAGUGCACUAUCAAUGACAAACAAUGACAAACAAUGAAACUGUAAUCACUUGUUAUGUCAUACAUCUAAUGUUGUAUUUUUCUGCUGAGAAUAAAUAUCAAUUUAUCGAUCUUCUCUUUGCAAUUUCAGGUUCAAAAUCUUCUUGUGCAGAUGGUGAGUUUAUAGUUCUAUUAAGCAAGAUUCAACUUUGAUCGCCCGUAUCAUUAUCCUUUCAUUUUAGUAAAAUAAUUCUUUUGCAGCAAACAAGGUUCCAGGCCAUGUCGGAGAGCAUUGUCUCAAAAAAUAUCCUUUCCACUAGUUUUUCUCAGACUUCUGCAGAUAGUAUUCAUCCCAUUGCUAUAUUUGUGUAGUACUGCAUGAUACUUCAUAAAGUAUCCAAAGUUUUCCAACUUGGACUUGAGCAUGAAUACUGACAAACUAAAAUGUUACUAAGCGACUAACUGUGCUAAAUGAUAUUGUUUUUUCGAAUUGACUGUAUGAUUUAGACUAAAAUGCUCUUCAGUAUACCGCCUUAAGUGUUUUUAUUUAUUUUUCUCACUCUUUGAUAAUAAUCUAGUUUUAUGGCUAUUUAAUGCACCCAAGCAUGUUUAUUUGUAAGUUCCUCUAUUUGUGGUGCUCUUAGCAGUAUUUGUUAGUUUUGCCUGCAGAAUCAUUUUUGUAUUUUUCUUAUUUUCUGAGAUGCGGACACCAUUUCGUAUUUUUGUACCCCGACCUGGAUGUUGUCUUUCUUAACUACACUUCACUAGAUGAGAUGGGUACGAAGAUUGACGAAUUGGAACAGAGCAUCAAUGACCUGAAAGCCGAGAUGGGCAUGGAAUGCCCUCCUGCGAAGCCGACGCCUGAAGAAGCCAACCCUGCUAACGAUUCUGCCUAAGUUUAAUUGUUAGCUGGUCUAUGCUGAGGUGAAUGUCGCGACAGCUCCUAUUAUUUGCUCUGCUAAAGAUUCACUGCUUGAUCCUAGCGCUUCUAGGAUCAAAAUUAGUUCUUAUCAAUGUUUGUGAUGGUUUUUUCUCCCCCUUUGUUUUAGUGGCACCUCUCAGAAGGUAAUGACCCCGGAACUUGGGAGGUUUGUAGUUUCGGAUUCGAAUUUCUCACUGUUGUAUUUGUUCCUGUAGACUUUGAGACUUUUUGACAUGUUACAAACCUAAUGAGUGUGGCCUACAUUAUCUGCACCGCUUCCAAAGAAAAGAAAAAAUUACUGUAAGUCUUAAAAUAUCAGGUAAAAUUAUGUUGCUGAAUAGAUUUGAACGGUUGAAAUGCUCUGCUUUUGGUAGUGUUUGGUAGGGGGAAAACUCUGGCCUUGUCGUUUCGUUUUGAACGUUUGACAAACCCUUUUUUAUUUGCAUCAGCUGAAUUAGACUUUAAGAAAAAAAAGGGGUUAAAAGAAUAUUCUGUUUAAAUACCUUCUAUAGUUUUAUUUCCUGUCCAAAAAAAAAAAAAAAAAAAAAAAAAAAAAAAAAAAAUGAAGCACAAUCCCCGCACUAAACGGAACUUUCACUCGCCCACAUGCUCACACGUGCCGCGUCCUUAUUCUUCUUGACUCCACCAACCCAGCCAACCUCCCCUUUCGCUCCACCAACCACUCCCAUACAGCGGGACAAGAAGAAAUUGGUUCCUCAUCGUGUCUACCACCACGUCAUCCCUGAACCUAACCAAACAAAAUUCACGACAACUCACCAAACAGCUGUCUUGGCCAAUAGGAAGCUAGAACCAUUUCCGGUCUAUUAGGCCGGGUUCAGGCAAAGAAGCUCCCCGAGGGAGCUGGGAGAGCCCGAAAACCGUGCAUGCACCGGGCCUAUACACCAAAAUCUCCAAAACGAAGGUCCUCUUUGGGAUUUGCGGGGAGUGAGCUUUGCGUGUAUGAUUAAAAGAAUAGCCUGAUCUACUGAUUCAAAUUAAUAACAAUGUUUAAACCAAUCUAAAGUUCUUAUAAUUUUUUAAAAUUUGUAUAUUUGAGUUUUGAGACAGGAUUUAUACGCCGGGUGCAUGCGAUAAUUUCUCGACCAAAAGGCGGCCCAUUCGUCUCUGCUCUCGUCGCCCAUUGACGGACCUCUCGAGGUCACAACUCACACAGCCUCCCUCUUCCGCCCUCCUAUAAAUCAAAGCUCUCUUUCUCUCUCUCGAUCUCGCGAUCGCGAUCAUCUCUCUCCCCCUCCAAUGGCGCUCUCUCAAUCCAAUCUCCUCCCAAACCCCUUCCUCUCCUCCAAACCCCGAUGCCGAACCCCCUUCGCAUCGUCUCCCUCGUCCCUCCCAUCUCUCUCGCGCCCUAGACACGUCCCCGCCGCGAUUCGGAGCUCCCUCGCCUCCGCCGCGGCGCCCUCGGCGGCCGCCGUGGCCGUGAAGGAGUUCGCCGUCAAGUCCGUGAAGGCGCGGCAGAUCAUCGACAGCCGCGGGAACCCCACGGUCGAGGUCGACCUCGUCACCGACCAGCUCUACCGCUCCGCCGUCCCCAGCGGGGCCUCGACGGGGAUCUACGAGGCCCUCGAGCUUAGAGACGGCGACAAGAAGGUGUACGGCGGGAAAGGGGUGCUCAAUGCUGUGAGGAACAUCAACGAGGUUUUGGCCCCCAGGCUCAUCGGCGUCGAUGUUAGGUUAGUCGACGACGUAUACAUCUUCUACGAGAUCGGUGACUAUUCUCAUUUCUAUUGGUGCUGAAUCAAGCUUUUACGUGCCAAGUUUGUGCGAUCAUCUCAUCUGAAUCAUAUUUGAUCUCUGUAAUUUAAGCUCUGAUCUACUUCAAUUAUUAUGUAUUUUGGUGUUUAUUUACUGCUUAAGAUGACCUAUAAAAGCCAAUUAGUAUUUGAUGACUACGUGCUAGGAUUAAUGAUUACUGCGAUCGUCGUUAAACUGAAGACGGACACGUAAGUUUUCACUUCUUAGAUCAAUGAGAAAGUUACGUGAACUUUAGAGUUGUAUCAUUCCACGACCCCAGCUGAAUUGAGUUGUCUGAGUUAGUAUUGUUGAGUCCUGUUGUUUCUGGUAGAACAAUACAAGUUAUAUUUUGGUGGUUCAAAUUUAGAGCGGGCAAAUUGAUGAGUUACUACAAACUGUAGGUCGUAUUUCGGGAAAAAUCAACUAUAUCUUGAUUGAUAUCGACGGGAUUUUUGACAACUCGAUCAGAAUCCAAGGAGGAUUAAUGGCCAAAUGGAAAAUACAUGUAUUGUGGUGGUAUCUGACUCAUUCAUUAUCCUUGCAGGAACCAGGCUGAAGUUGAUUCGAUCAUGCUAGAUAUUGAUGGAACUCCAAACAAAUCAAAACUGGGUGCUAACGCAAUCCUUGGAGUUUCUCUAAGUUUAUGCAGAGCUGGUGCGGGGGCCAAAGGAGUUCCUCUCUAUAAGCAUAUACAGGAUAUAGCUGGUGUGAAGGAACUCGUCAUGCCCGUUCCUGCUUUUAACGUGAUAAAUGGGGGUAGCCAUGCUGGCAACAAUCUGGCAAUGCAAGAGUUCAUGAUAUUGCCAGUAGGCGCAACUUCUUUUGCCGAGGCUCUUCGUAUGGGCUGUGAGGGUAAUCAAGCUUCUUCUUUCAUCCAUAUUCACAUAAAAUCUUCAUUAUCUGCGAGUUCAUUAACCGGGGAGCAGUGUCUUCAGCCAUAUAAGCAAAAUUUUCCACUUCCUACUCAGAAAAGCCUGUGAAUGUUGAAAUCUCCUUUCCUCAUCAUUCUGUUAUCAGUUCUGUUUGUGAACUAGAUUGAUACAAGUAAUCUGUUUGAUGUGACAGUUUACCAUAUCCUCAAGGGCAUUAUUAAGGCUAAAUACGGGCAAGAUGCAUGCAAUGUUGGAGAUGAAGGUGGCUUUGCUCCCAAUGUUCAGGACAACAGAGAGGGUCUUGUCUUGCUUAUAGAUGCUAUUGAAAGGGCUGGUUACACUGGAAAGGUGUUGUGAAUAAAAAAAUUGUCAAUAUACUGUAUUCUUUUAUCUUCUUCUCGAUACUUAGUUGGCUUGACUAUACUGCUGAUCACAGAUUAAAAUAGGAAUGGAUGUUGCUGCUUCAGAGUUCUUCACAAAGGAUGGGAGAUACGAUCUGAAUUUCAAGAAGCAGCCGAAUGAUGGAGCUCAUGUUCUCACUGCUCAGAGCCUCUGCGAACUGUAUAAGGAGUUUGUCAGAGACUUCCCUAUCGUGUCCAUCGAGGACCCUUUUGACCAAGAUGAUUGGAGUUCGUGGGCGUCACUUCAGUCUUCUGUUGAUAUCCAACUUGUCGGCGAUGAUUUGUUGGUCACCAAUCCCAAAAGAAUAGCCGAGGCAAUUGGGAAGAAGGCUUGUAAUGCUCUGCUUCUAAAAGUAAGUCCGCUACAUCAUCAUCAAAUGAUAACAUGAGUGUGCUAUUUUUUCAAUAGUUUAAGAACUUGACAUCAUACUUUCUGUUCAGAUAAACAGCAUCUGCUAUAAACAACCUAUGUUUCUUGCUGGAUUAUUUCCCUUGUAAUUUCCUUCUACUUUGUUCUUUAUUUUUUUUCUCUCUCUCCCAAAUUUGCAAAGAACAAUCCUGCUAGAUUUGCACGCAUUGCAGUCAGGAUUUAAAGGUCUGACACUAGGCUUCUGUGGGAGGUUAUUUUCAACAAAGUUAGCAUACGUGGCUAUGUGUUAUAUCAAACUUUAGAAAGAUGGAGAAUUGCUGUAAUAGAACUUUCCAAACAAUUUCACUCUGUUUUCUUGUUCUCUUGCAGCAAUUGUAAUUGAUUGUAGCCUUUUGAAUUUUAUACUUGUAAUUGCUGCUCACUUUUAAGUUGUAUGACAUGUAAUAAUCAGGAAUAAGCUACAUCCAUAAUAGUUUUUCCGACAACUGUAUUUCCUAAUGCACCAAUGAUAAGCUUUCUUUUCUUGAAUAUAUAUAUAUAUAUAUAUUAAGUGCCCAAAUUUGCUAUGGUUUAUAGGUUAACCAGAUUGGCACUGUCACUGAAUCCAUCAAAGCAGCUCUUGACUCAAAAGCUGCUGGCUGGGGAGUGAUGGUCAGCCACCGUAGUGGUGAGACAGAAGAUAAUUUCAUCGCUGAUCUUGCUGUUGGCUUGGCAAGUGGACAGGCAUGAGCUCUAUUACCAUCUGAUCACAAUUGUUCCUUCGUAUAUCUUAUUUUUGUUGCAUCUUUUAUAUAUCAUAGCUGAACUCUUUCUUCUCUUCAGAUUAAAACUGGAGCUCCCUGCCGUAGUGAGCGGUUGGCCAAGUAUAAUCAGGUAAAAGAUAUUCUUUUAUCUCCUCUCUCAUUAUCUCCUGGCAAUAGAUAAAAUUAUUUUGAGAGAUAUUUGGCCUCUCUGUUUGUGCUAUAUAUAAUUGCCUCAUUCAUUUAUAGCACCCAUGCUUCCUUCUUCAAUCAAUAUGGUGUGUGUGUGUGUAUACAUGUAAUUUUCUUUUUGUCCUUAACGGUUGUAUGUGGAUCUUUAAUUUUAGUUACUUCCUUGACCGAUAUAUUGUCAGACAUGAAGGAAAUAAGAAACAUAACUUCAGUUUCAGCAGUACUUCUAAUUUGUAGAAAUGCUGAUAUUUAGGAUUUCUUGGACUAAUCUGCUUAAACACUUAUCUUUUCUAAUCGCUUUUAUGAUGUUGUAACCUUUGCCCAGCUUUUGCGGAUCGAAGAGGAGCUUGGAAAUGUGCGCUAUGCUGGGGAAGCAUUCAGAUCUCCGUGAAAAGACCAAUGAUAGGCAGAUUACAUCUUGAAGAAAAAUAAGGUACUAAAUCAAAAUGAUCCAAAAUGGAGUUUUAUGUACCACGGAAAUGACAAUUUUGUAGAUCUCUUCUUUUUUUUUUUUCUGAGAUGAACUUUAGUAUGUGCAUCUGUUGCUCUGAGUAUUCAAAAACCCUUUUCUUCAGGGGUCUGGUGGAGGGACCCAGGACUUUGUACUAUUUCUGAUACUUCAUUACGAUUGCAAGGAGUGAAGUUUGGAUAGUAUUAUAUGCUAUAUGCUAUAUUCUCAUUUCAUUGUGGUAUUUCUGCAGCUUCUUCCAUGAGCGAGUGAUAGGGAAAUGGAAACUACAGAACGCAGCUUUGAAUUGCAGUGCAGUUUUGUUGCUCUUUGCUUCCUUUGUAUGUCCAAGCAUACUAACUAGGAAUCUAUCAUGUAUGUUAGGAACAACCAAGUAAAAAGCACCAUAUUUCCCUCGGAUUUUUCGGAGUCAUUUUUAACUUAUAUUGUGUCAAUUACGUGUUGUUCCAGGCAUGUAAAUGCCAAAAAUUAGACUGAAGGAACGUUUUAAUAUUUCCAAAAUGCUGAGAUUCAAGCAGAAGAUUUUAGAAGCAAAAAAUAGAUGCUAGGAAAUUUAAAUAAGGUAUUAAACUGAUUACUCUAUAUCCUUCGGUGGCUUUUGUUUCCGCUCUCUUUACAUACCCUUCUCGUAGCAUAAUAUUAGAUUCGAGGAAGUUUUAUAAUAAGUGGAAUAUUUAGCUCAUACGGGUCUCCGACCUGAAUGAGGCAUACACAGUGAAGAUCGUUUACGCAUCAUCCAUUAAAGCUCACCUACAAUAAAAUGUCAUUUGAUUUUUGGUUUAAAAAAGCUGAGGAAAGAGUAUAAGUCAACAGAUCAUGCAACAAAAGGCAGGGAUAAAAGAACAUGAUGUUUCAGCUGCUGCAAAUGAAUUACUCGCACAGAGACAAGUAUAUAACUACAGCUCACAGUAUUGAACUGAGCAACCAUAUGAUUAAAUCUGGGGCAAAAAAAAAAUCAUAACCUUAAUCGGGAUUUCAAUAGCCGCAAUGUCAUAAACUUCUUGCAAGCAUUCCUGUAAGGCCGUGCCCAGAAAAGAUGUAGUAUUACCAACCGCAUAAGCUGCCCUAUUUUUACCCUACAGCUAGAGGUUGUUGAGAGUAAUUCUUUUACCUAUGACGAUUCGCAACAAGUCAAGACAAUGGGCAAACGCAUUCCGCUAUCAACUUACUCCCCAGGGAAAAAUUUAAAGAUUAAGAUUAGUGAAUAAUUAAUUAAUAAGGGCGGAACUUCCUGGCAGCUCUCAAUUGCUGAAUGCGUUUCUUAUCCUGCUCAAAUUUGCUCCGUAACAUCAUCACCUCUGCAACAGAAAAAUCACAAUUUGGAAUUAGCUUACGACCGAUUGAGUUUAACCGAAUAGAUAAAACAAAAGAGAAAAAUUAGCAGUAAGGUCACAAUAAUGAUUCUCUAAUUACAAUAUGGUCUAGUAUCAAUUAUUGAGAUCUUUGGCAGUAAGCUUCAUACUGGUAGUAAAUACCAGGUUCAACGAACAGGCACUUCUCAUCCAAGUAUCUUAUUACUACAAGAAUUUACUAUCAAAUCACUAUAUUUCAUACUUACAUUGAUUUUGACAAGGUAAGUCCAUCAAAUUCAACCAUACACUUUUUUCUCUUUCAGAAUUUUAAGUUCGGAUCUUGUCUGUGCCAUUAAAUUUGUCACAUUAAGUGGUUCUGAAGCCAUCAUUGCCAGCUAAUUUCCCUAAAUAUCUCAUUCACAUUCUUUUUUUGUAUACUUGAUAGAUAUGUUUGCGUGAAAUGUAAUACCAACAACCAAGAUCCAAACAGGAAAAAGUAAACUCCAAUCAUAACAAGUAUUCUCAUCUACCAAUCCAUCAAAAUAAGUGACAAUACCAGCUAUUCAUUACAUAGAUACCCAAUGCCAUUUCUAUAUGGUACAGUAUUCUAUGAAACUUUUAACCACCUAUUUUAUAACCAGCUAUUCAUUACUAAAAAAACGCAAAAAAUCACUGGUAACAAGAACAAACAAAACAACUAGGGCACAAAUCAAAUAACCAAAAUAAUUGUUAAUUUUCAAUAUCUUUCCACUGAAGUUCAACUUACCAUUCCGCUGAGCUUCCCGCUUCUGGAAUCUGUAGAAAUCUAGGGCGACUUCCUUGCUUUUCUUUUUCUCUAUUUUGUCCACGACAGCAGCUUGGGCGACAGAGCCCACAGUUACACCACUUUCUGCAUCCGUUGUUUUCUUCCUCCCUUUAUGAUGCACCACCACAGUCCAACCUCCCUCUGCAGCACGUGCUUCUUUUUCCCUCCUUUCCUGUAUUUACCAAUUAUAAGAGAGAACACAUAUUUAAGACAACCUUUAAAUGACAUCACAGCGUAAAGCUACAUAUACAAUUUUAUUUCACACGCGUAUGAAAUCAAAACUGUUGAGUAACAGAAAUUUUAGGAAAGAGAUUCCUAGACCUUGGAUUUUCCGAGCAGUCUCAUAGAAAUACACAAGUGUAUUAAUAGUGUACUUCUAUCAUUUUCUAAUUCCAAGUUAUACAAGAAAAUAGAGUGUGAGGCAGUUGAAGAACGCAAGACACGUACCUGUUCUUGUUGCUCCUCGUAAGUAGUUAUAAAAUCAUCUAUUCUUUGCUGCAAUUCUUUUAAUCCCGGUCUAUUUUGCUUAUAUUCAAUGAGCCAUUCUGUUAAAAUUAUGUAGAUCAGCUUCGUUCCAUGAUAUGCAUAGAUAAACCCAGGAUAAGAAUACAUUGUUCUGAAAGGAGGAAAAUUUAGUAUACAGCAACUAGUAACAUGUUUUAAACAAAUUGGGAUGGAUUAAAUGUAAAAUGGAUUCAAUCAAGACAUAAAAAGUCAAUAGCAUACUAAGAUCGAACAAAAUAAAUGGCAAAAGGUAGUAGAGUUUUAAGUGCACGAAAUCUUGACUCUAGCAUGAUAUGCAUAUAUAAGUGCAUGAGUCAUUUCACAUAACAAAUUAGAAGUGUAGGUGAAGUGUAUGCCCUAUUUUACAACAAGAACCAUAGAACUAUUAAUUAGGCAUGUACAAGUUUUGAAUUAAUUCCUGCUUGCAAUUUAACCUGUGUAUAAUAAGGAAAGAAGUUGAAAAUUGAAAGUCUCGGCUUUUGUUAAAUUGUAAACAGAUGAUAGAAAGAGGAUGACGUCACACAAGUAGCAACAUAGUGGAGAACUUGAUCAACUGUAUAAUUAUUAGAAAGGGGGUUCAAUACUUUUCAUUCCUCUUGAACAAUCUUCAUCAACUGCUGAGAUCUGAUCGACUUUUUCACUGUCUACGUCACCAAGACUUUUGACGAACUUGUUCUCCUUGCUGACAUGUUGAUCCUUCUUACGUUUUCCUACCUUUUUAAGCUUCUCUGUUAGUGAUACAGAAGGGGGGGAAAACAGUUUGAGUAUCUUUCUAUAUUUAAGUGACAUUUGAGCACAAAAGAAUUUGAAGAACGGAAACAUAAAGAUUAGAUACUCACUAAUUUUUCUUUUCACUCCAAUAUUUGCUUCCACAGGCUCAUUAGAACCACAAACCUUGUUCGACAAUUCAAGCUGGCUGAGAUCUCCAGCAUUAUUGUUUACAUUGUCAUCUACAACACAAUGAGAAAAGAGAGUUAUGUUCAAAAUGCGCAGCAGCCAGAUCUGGGAAGCAUAAUAUGGAGGAAGGUUGAAAAAAUGUAAAAUCUUUUUUUGCUUUACAAGCACAGUACUUUGCUGAAGUAAUAUACAGAAAAUCAGGUCAACAAAAAACUGAUAAUAUCAGGAAGAAGAAAAUAGUACAACUAAUGAUAAUCAAAGAGAAGGUUAUCAAUAUUCUAAUCAAGUCGGAUUUUAAAGAAUAAUUAUCAGUUAUUUAGGAGACAAGCAUGUAACAUUAUAAUCCUAGCACAAAAACUGAGUGAUCGUUUGCAACUAGGAAUUUUUCUGAAAGCAAACAAAUUCACUAUAUCCAAGAAUGAAAAGUAAGUAGCAUACAUAAUGAAUAUAACUUCACACCUGUUAAGAUUGCUUUGGUUUCAUUUCCAGUAGGGAUCCUAUCAGCAUCCGCAGCGUCUACAUAACUCUUCUCUUUUACUUUCCUCUUUUUGAACUUACUUAAUACCUUUUUCCUGCUUUUUCCCACUGCUCGGUCAUUCUUAUCUAACAGCAAAAUGAAGAAAAGCAAGAGUAAGAAUCUAUGCUACAAAAUAAAAGUCUAAAACUAUAAUCACCUACAUAAUCAAGAAAAUAUCUCUACAAGUAUGUUUAUAAAGCGAAUCGAUAAAGCAGCACAACGACAAAGUUGGAAGUGAUUAACCACAUUCUGCAAUUUUCUAUUAAAACACCUGAUAGCUGCUUCUUAUGAACACUCUAUCAGUUCAACAACUGUAGGAGAACUAAUUAAUCUUCAUUCAGAAAAUUCAUUCACAAUUAUAUUUCCAAAACACAUCAAAAGAAAGCUCAUACGAGCUGACCAAGUAAUCAACAAACCCUAGAAUUCAUAGAAUUGAUGGAAUCAAACUAAUUAACCAAGAACGGCGAAAUAAAGCUAAUGGAAAGCAUUAACCCUAGAAAUCGAGCUAUGCAGGAAAUCGACUUCUUUUUGAUGAAUUAUCAAUAUCGCACCUUUCAAUGCCCCGUUUUUGAGCUCUUUUUCAGGAGAAACACCAAUUCCUAUACUUGUUUCAUCGAGAUUUCUCCUCUUUUUUAGUUCCUUCGAUUUCACUUUAAGCAGCGCCUUUUUAUCCCUUUUUUCUCCUCGUCCAAUUUUCUUAUCUAAAAAAACCAAUUCUCAAGAACAAAAAUCCCCUCAAAAACCAAAAAUUCUACGCAAGAAAUAUGUAUUCUUCAUAAUCAUUCGCAUCAAAGAGAAGCUAAAUAGCAAUUAAAUCACAAACCUUUUCCCAUCGAAUGAGAUCGAAGCCUUUGUUGAUUACAAGCGCGCUAGGUUCGAUCGAACUUUCAAAGACGACCUACAAUAACAUCGAGAUAGCGCGUUGAUUAAACUUAGGACGACUCCCCGCUGGGGAUGGGGAUUUGGGGAUUUUCCGCCACCGAGCGUGGGGCUUUUACUCUUUUAGUGGACAGUGGGCACCUCAAAACCCUAGACGUUCGAAAGACGAAUACGGAGAAGGAGAGGUCGCGUUGUGGGGCCCACUCUCUUGGGCCCAAACUCGGCUGAUGCGUGACCCGUUAGGGGGCGCGCCCGAACCAAGUAGAAGUUGCGGGCCCCAACGCACCACGCUUCGCCCGUUCUCUAUUGCCGAGUGGGCCUAUAUAAAAUGGACUUGGGCCGAACUAUGUUUUUCCUCGGCCCAACUUCUAGUUUGUGGGUUGCGAGAGAUUAAAAUUCAUCAAUUAUUUUAUCAAUUUAACCGAACAAAUUUAAUUCAUAACAUUUGAAAUUAAUAAAAAUUUUAAAAAUAAAAAUGAAGCUGGACGUUGGCUUACUUGGAAGCAAAGCAAAUAAUCCGAUUAACUUAACCACUAUUCCAAUAAAUUUUUUUCAUGGUCACAAUUUAUGAACGGUUUAGAUAAAUUCAUAGUGGCAAUACAACAAAAUUCUCAAAAUAUCCUCAAAUCUAAAAUAUCAAAAUAUUGAGAUUGCUGCUUGACAGAAUAAAUUAUAGCUGACUUACCCCUCAAACUGACAAUUGUUAUAGCAUUAGAUAAAAAACACACAGAACUUUAAAAUACAUUACAGCAGAAGUUUCAGUGCUUUUGGUCUGUGAAACAAAUGGCUUAAAAUAACACAUUUGCUAUGCUCUUCUGAGUAGCUUUAUGCCGGAAACAAUAGCAUCAUCUGCAUUACAUCUUCCCACCACAACCCUGUGAAGCAAGUUCCAGUGUAAGAUGGAGCUCCAUACAGGGAUCAUUGAUAGUUCGCUGGAUCUGCCAUUGAGAGGUGGGCGGUAAUAAUAGAGAACUUGCAAUCUUUAACAUAAGGAGAAAUUCUAAGGGAGCCCAGUUCAACCUCCAGAAAUGCUGAUUCUCAUAGCUGAUUAGAUGAUUCGGACUAUUCCGUCCCUUAUCAUUAUUCUAUUAGAAUCCUGCAUUCUCUGUAGAAAAGUAAUAAACAUAUUCAGCAUUUCGUUUCCAGUAUUCCCAUGAGAGGUUUUAAAGUGCAUGUCUAAUCAAGAUUCCUCAACAAUUUAGCAUGGUUACUAUUUAGACCCCCAAAAUUUUAAAUCGACAAAGUACCUACCUAAUAGCCAUGUAAGUAAUGAGUGGGCGGUUCAAAUUAUGCAAUAUGGUUAAUGCAACAGAGUGCAAAUGCCAGGGACCAACUUGUAAAUGUUGAAAAACAUGGGUACCAAACUAAAACUGAGCUAAAAGGUUGAGGAACCCGAUUGAAAUUUGACACAGAAAGAAAAUGGUCAUAAGGAGAUUACCUCCAAGAUGGACUGAACUUGGCGUCUUGUAUAAGGUGCUGCAGCUUCUCUGUUAACCAAUUGCUCUAUCUCAGAAAUUGAUAUUUGAUCCAAGUGGUUAGCCAAAACAUGCUGACCCAAUAUGGACUCGAAAGUUUCAAUUCUGCAGAUUUAUAUAAUCAAAACAGGGUUACUAAAAGAGCAAGAAGUUCUAAGCUGAAAAUGUAAACUGAUGUUUCCAAUUUGAUCUGGAUAGGAACCUCUCUGCAGAUAAAUCCUCAUGAUCUGAAACAUGGUCCACAUCCACCUCCAUUGGGUCGCCUCCCGCGCUGAAGAAAAAGAUGGAAGAAUGUUAGCAAUUGCCUUUUCUUUCGCAUAGAAAUGAAAGAGAUUGCUAUUACUAUGAUAUUACGUCUGAUAGAUGACAGUGACAGCUGUAGAUAGUGCUAAGCAAGAUUUAUUGUUAUUAUUUUUUAGAGAGAAAGGUAGUAUAUUACCCACUUCGUUCAUUUUUAAAAAAUAAACUCAGUUGAAAAUGUGAAGCAAUGAGACUUCAAAUUUGAAACCUCAAGUACCAACUAUCAAGCCCUUAAUCAACUAUGCUAGAUACGGUCGGUACUGCUAAACAAGAUAGUUAGGAUGAGUAGAGUGCUUGAUUUGCUCCCAACCUAUUGACAUCGGACUUUGGAAGUUACACAGUAUACCUGUCUACAAUUUUGAAUGGUGUGGGUCAAACUUUUUCAGAGAUAAUAUGUAGAAUAACAUACGAGGCUUUCUUAAAAAGUCAGGAGUCAAAAAGCUGACAAUAAAAGCUAUUCCAGCUUUAAAAAUUCUUCUUUUUCUUUGAAGGGAACCAUUUGGCUCUUCCCAACCAAGAUUACUUAGUCAUGAGCAUAAAGAGAUUAAUUAUUGACUGAAAAUGACAGUAAAUAUAACCUAAUACCUUCCACCAGCAUUUCCACCACUCUCAUGAGCAUCAUGAUCUGCUUUCUGCUUCAGCUCCAACUCUCUUUGCUCACGCUCUUCCAUCUCAGUCAGCUCUUUGUGGUAUAUAGCAAAAUUUAGAACUUGCAGAGCAGCUUCUACAUCAGUCAUCAGAACCUGUAUUGAUGCAUGUAUUGCUUAAUGCAGUGUGCACAAAGGGGCAAAACUGUGAUUGAUAUAUUUGUUGAAAAGGUCUAGUGUUGGAAAACAUAAAGCUAAAUCCGUGAACUGUUAAGUUAUAUUUACAGAAGAGCUGAUUUAUACAACAUGAUUUCUUUUUCAAGUAAAGCUAGUUCAUAUCAAUAUGAUUUAGCAAAUAAACUGAGCAAUUCAAAUAACCGACAUAAAUCAUUAGCCCAUCUUCCUCAUAUGGGAAAAAAGUACCUCAUUUCUCAACUUCAUUUUGGCGUGAGCAGUGGAGAGGCGAAUGAUGGUCUCUAAGGUUCUUGCUGUAAUUGGUAGGGUGCCUCCUCCAGACUGAAGACAAAGAAGUAGUUUGAGAAAAUAUGGUCGCCAGUUUUAUUUCAGAUGAAAUUAACUAUUUAACAAAGCAUUUGAAGCACCAACCCUUGCAGUGGCACCAGCAUCCCUAAGUUCGGCAUAUGAAGUUGCAAUAUGAUCAGAUGCCUACAAAUGAGUAAAACAAUAGCAUGAAACCAACAUUUAAUUGAAAAACAGAAAAGAUUAAGAAAAACAUUUAAUAGUGGAAUAAGGCAGGACUUCUUUAUUUUCAUAAGCUACACAAACAAAUCAAGGGAAUGAAGUAAUUAUUACCUCAUCCGUGAGCUUCGGUUGAAUCCUAUUCUUGGCAUAAUGGAUGUACUUCUUCAAGAAUUUGAUGGUAAGCAUCUCAUGUUUAUCCUUCUUACCCCUUUUCCUUUUCUGCCCAUGAAGCACCCUAUCAUAUUUCACAAAAAUGGGUGCAUUGGCAUCACCGUCAUCUUCUUCCGUAUAUCUUGAAGUUUUAUCAAGGGACCCAAUUCCUAGAUUUUAAAGAUAGACAUAUAUAACAGGGUAAGGAAAGCAGAAACAACAAAAUGGAUUUCUUAUUUCCAGUAUGAAGUCAAAAACUGUUUAAAAAGAACUAUUACCCCUAUCAUCUGCACAAUAUCUAUGCAUACGAGAGACAUGCUCUGAAAUUUGCCGGUCAAUUUCAGGGUCCAUUUGAUCAAGAACAAUGAAAAGCAGAUCAAAACGGGAGAGUAACGAAUCUGGAAGUCCAAUGUUCUUUGUUGGCGUCAGUGAGCGAUCGUACUGUAAAUAAAAAGAUGACAAUAAGAUAAAGUGCUCUAAACAAAUUUUGACAAGGGAUACAAGAAACCAAGACAAAUUGUUAGACAAUCCAAUACAGUCCAGACGCAUCAGCAAUAAAACCUUACAGUUCCAUAAAUAGGGUUUGCAGCAGCAAUCACACUGCAUCUAGCAUUGAGUGAUGCAUGAAUUCCAGCCUUCGCAAUAGUUACAGUCUGCUGCUCCAUGACUUCAUGUAUGGCGACGCGAUCUAGAUCAUUCAUCUUAUCAAAUUCAUCAAUACAAACAACACCUCGAUCAGCAAGCACCAUCGCACCAGCUUCAAGCCUUCUUUCACCUACCAUAUGAUUUUGGUCAAGAAAUUCUGAUGGAAUUUAACCUGAAAUUACUGCGAUGGUCUAAAAUUUACCAGUCUCUUGGUCGGAAGUAACAGCAGCUGUUAAUCCAACACCAGAGGAACCUCGCCCGGUGGUUGAGAUAGCCAAUGGGGCAAUGUUCAUGACUGCUCUUAAGAGCUGGGAUUUGGCGACUGAAGGAUCGCCAACCAUCAUCAUGUUUAUAUCACUGUAAAAGAAGUGACAAGAAAUAAGACAAUAGAGAGAAGGAGAAUAGCUUGCUUCUACACAACAACACUAAUACGAGGAAUAGCAUGGGCAUGAUGUUAUGAAAGUCUGAAAGGCAAUCAUACCCUCUUAAGUGAGUUCCAUUCUUCAGAUUCUUUUCGACACCACCAAGCAUUAAUAGUAUCACCGCCUUUUUAAUCCACAGUUGGCCGUAUAUGGAAGGGGCAAGUGAAUUUCCUAGUAAAUCAAAUGUAUCGUUUCUCUUGGCUAUUUCUUUCAUUCUCUUUAGGUCUUCCAAAGAAUAAAUAGGUGCAUUCGCCUCCUUGUUUAGAAGAGAGACAUUAUUCGCUAUAAGAACAGUCCUACAGGCAUAACGGGUAUUUCCUUUAUGAGAAAAUAUUCAACUGUGACCAGUAAAGAUGGAUAUGCAAGUCUAGUGCCGGACUGCAUUUUGAUUUUGGCUUCUGAAACAGCUUGUCUAGCUCCGGAAAGGAGAAGCUUCCAAAAACCAUGCAUUUUCUCACAAAUAAUCAGAAGUAUUUGCUUUGGCAGAAAGCUAAAACAAACUUUUCAGCAUAAAAGUAGAAGCUCCAAUUUGAAGCCUCUACUCCUGCAAAAACUCCAGCCAAGCCAAACAAGCCCGAAGUCUUGUAUGUUAAUUAAACUAACCUGAAUACGCCAUUCACACUGCCCUUGGUUUUUCCAGGAAAAGCCUUAUAAAUCCCGACUAUUGAUAGACGGUCUCCAGGCUUACAAGAAUCCACCAGAUCAUCUUCUAUGAUAACAUCCACUGUUCUUGGAAGCUGGCCAGGUAAAGAAUUUUCGGGCACUUCUUGCAUCGAUAGCGUCUGGUGGUCCUUGUAUUUACAUAAUCCGUAUUCAGUCACCAACAAGUUCCCAUUGUCAUCCUGAAUAAAUUUAGAAAUUCGUUAUGUUGCGAAUGUCAACGACAAGGAUAUGAGUGUUUUCAUUGCUAUCUGGAAAUUAUAUUGGAAUAUUACCCUUGUUGGAUACACAGAGCCUGUUGGCAAGCCCACCAAAGACGUGAUAUCUCUAUACUCGCGAGAUGUGAAUUGCUCUGUUGUAGGGCAAUAGUGAACGCUUUUGACAACCUUUGGCCUUACAAGAGAGCCUUCAUUUAAGCACACAAUGAGGUCAAACAUAUAAUUCAGAACAUUAGCUCUCUACACGUAUCAGCUGGUUCAAUUCUUUGCAGCAGUCGGAUGUGAUGCAAAAGCACGCAAUAAAAAAAAAAUUGCAUUUUCUUGACAAACUACCAACUGUUUUGAGUAUUGAGAUAUCAAAAUGCAGGAAAACACAGGAAUUGGUACUAAGGAGAUUUAAGAGUGAGUACACUUAGUGACGAUUCCUUCAACGCAGACCAUGGAGCCGAUGAAGCUCGACAUGAGAUCCCUCGGAGUGACCUUGUGGAACCCAAAAGGACCACUAAAUCCCACGAGGACACGCUCCCCUUCCUUGAGGUACUUUGGAUCCAAAUUCCGUGUGACCUCGGUCAAAGCAUCAGAGAUCGGUUGCAUGUACUCCGCAGGAUUACGAAUCAACCUGGAAACACAAUUCAGUCAGCUUAAACAGGCAUGAAAAUCGAAGGUGAUAGGUGUGUACGGGUAGUAAAGUUAGGGUUUCGACCUUCGGGCGAGAUCGAGGCUGUAGUUGCGGAGGUCGUCGAUCCCGAUGAUGAGGCGGUGGCGCUUGUUCUGGAUCAUGUCCCUCAGGGAUUUCAUGUAGAAACCCUUGCCCACCUAAGAGAAAUCCACGAAAAAUUAGAGAAAAACCGAGAGAUUGAAAAUGAUUCAUAGGGAAUUGGGGGAGACGAAGCUUACAUCUUGAUCCAGGAAAUCCAAAAAUGCCCGCUUGUGAGCGGCCAUGGCCUCUUCGUUGAUCUCCAUCUCUAAUGGCGCACACAAAGAGAGAGAGAGAGAGAGAGAGAGAGAGAGAGAGAGAGGAGGUGGGGGGUGAAACCAAAAUGACGCGGGGGUGGGCGUGCGAUUGAGGAGUUAGGAGCGAGGGGCUCGUUUUGGCGGGAAUGGGCGAAGGCGGAGUUGUUUUGGCGGGAAAGCAUCGCAGACUGCGUGGAGUUGGGGCUCAGAAUAGAUCUCGACCGUCAAAUCCUAUCGGGCUCAAAAGCGGGUCGGAGUUAGAUGUAAUCCUGCAUUCUUAAUCUGGAAAAGUACCUGAGCUUGGUUCACCACGUCAUCCCUGAACAGCAGCGCUCCGUUUCAAACAUUUCUCAAACGUGGAGGUAUCUUGCUGGACGGUUCACAGAUGACGCAGUGAACCAAAUUCUACGUAGAGUAUCAUGAAAGGGGGGCGGUGCAUUUAGUUUCGAGGAUUCGGGCGCAUCUAAAUUUAGAUGCUCCAAAACCCAUUAAUAAACCGGUUAAAUUUUCUUUUCAGAGGCGGAUUUUGAGCCGCAAACCCGAAAACCGUUUAGGAGGACGAAACCCGAGUUCGAUCGACCUCGAAAGUCGAAACCCAUAAACCCUACGAGCGACGACUCCUUCCCACUCCCUUUGCUAAAACUCUAGCUCUCUCAGCGACGGCUAAAACCCUAAUCGCAUACCAUGGGAAGCGACAGCGAGACGGAGAAAUCGUUGAAGGAGAGGAAGAAGGUGAUCUCGCUGAUGCCCAUUGCGAAGCCCCUCGCGGGAAAGAAGCUCUGCAAGAGGACCCUUAAGCUCGUCAGAAGAGGUAAUCUUUUCGUGUUCAUGUAUGAUUUCCUUGUUUUCAAUGUCAAAGAUGCAUUUUUAUCUUUCCUUCGCUUUAAGCGAUGGAGAUUUCUGGGUAUGUCAAAUUCUUGUGCCGUUUCGGUGCAAAAAUUGUAUUUUGUGGUUACCUAAUGAAAUUGUUUAAUAUUGAUUGUGUUCACGGUUGUAAUCUAUUUGUGAUCUGCUUUUAGCUGCUUUUUUCGUGCAAUUUGUUGUAAUUUCCUUUCUUUUCGUUUAUCAUACAUUUGUAGAAUUGAUUUUGAAAGUUUAAGGUGUCGAUUUAAUCUUUUUUCUUUGCUUGUUCUCUGUUUUUCCCAGCUUCUGAAUCCAAGUGCUUGAAAAGAGGGGUAAAAGAAGUAGUGAAGAGUAUUCGUCGCGGCCACAAAGGGUUAGUUUUUAUUUGUAUAAGUUUUUCUCACUCUUUACUUCAUUGCUUCCUUUUUUGGCAAAGAGUGGUAUUUCCUAUGCUCAUAUACUUCUUAUCUGUUGUGACAUUGUAAUCUGUAGAUGAGAGUUGCUGUAUAUAAAAACUCUUUUACAGAUAACCGGCAAAUGAUUUAAUCCAGCUGUUUGAGCCAAGUUUAAGCCCCAGCGGCUACUUUGUUGAACUUUAUGGAUAGAUUGAGGAAUAUAUGAUUUGGACGACUUUAUGGUGCAGUUUGCUGGAAAUGUUCUAUUUUGCUGCUUACUUUGUUGCAAUAUAAAGUAUAUAGUAAGGCAUUACUAUUGAGUAUAAACUAUAGUACUAGCUGACAUCCGAAGGUAUUCGCCGCAUCAAGUAGGGAUGAGGUUUUUAUUCCUUUGUAGAAAUCGCAGUUUUAACAAGAGCAGAGAUGGUUUUGUAGGGAUGGAUUGUUUCUUAAAGGGGAUAUUAUAGAUUAUAGAAUAUAAGGGGAGGAAGAUGAAAUAGAAGAGGGUUCUUCGGGUAAAUAUCAAUCAUUGGCAACAAUGGACAGGGAGCAGAUUUUAAUUGAAGAGGUAGCCGGUCAUUACUAGCAAUGAUAUUCUCUCUUUUAUUGGUGUCUUCUAGUGAUUAGAUUUGUAAAUGGAGGGGCUUUCUUGACCGAUGACAUGAAAUAACUGAGUCUGUUACUUUCUGAGUCUUUCAUUGCCCGGUGAACAACUGUGAGUUUAGUGGGAAGAAUUAUUAUUAUAGCUGUUCGCCAAACAGGGGAUUAUAUUGGGUAUUCUUGAAGUUCGACAUGCUUGUUAAAGAACAUACGGUACCUGUUGCACUGAGAAGAAGUGUCCCGUUGGGGGUGCAGUUUGGGUGGGUUAGGUUUCAGCUAAUUUCCUAUUUUGAUAUUAAAUAUCUAUUUGCCCAUAUUUUCUGUCAUCAAAAGCUAAAAUUUGGUAACAAGAUUACUAUAUUUGGUCGGCAUAUGUUCUCCAUCUGUUAAUUGGAUAAAAAUUCUAUUUUGUUUCACUUGCAUUACUCUACUGAUAUUUGCAGGUUGUGUGUAAUUGCUGGAAACAUCUCUCCAAUCGAUGUGAUCACACACGUUCCUAUUCUAUGUGAAGAAGCCGGGAUCCCUUACAUAUAUGUCCCUUCUAAAGAGGUCAGUUGUUGUUUUAAUCUUCUUUCCUGGUUUUGAUUUGUGCCUACAAUGCGCAAUGGAGUUGUCUUUUGCCAACCAAUAGAGUAUCUGAUGACCAGCAAAUAUUAUCAUUUAAUUUUGUAAGCUUUGAUUUAUAAACAAGAUUUCAUCAGCCGUGCAAAUGAGUUCUAUGCAUUUUAAUCGGCAUUAAGUGCCUUUUUUCGAGUUAGCAUUUGAUUGCCACGCGUUUGGCGAUCAAAAAAGUUUGGAGCUUUUGCCAUGGCAUGAAGUGAAAAUGAGCUCAGGAGCCACAAAGCAGAAGCUUGAAUUUGUAAGACUUUGCUUCUUCAAGGUGAAAAGGCUCUUAUUAGUGGUUAUUUUCGGCGACUCUGACCUUGCGAAACGAGUCAUAAAUGUGAAACUGGUAGAAAUAAUCUUAUUGAAGGAGUCGCGACGCGACCCGCGACGGAUUGUUCGCUUGAUUCCCUGCAUUGAUGUUUCUUCUCAUGAUCACAGGAUCUUGCCACUGCUGGGGCUACCAAGAGGCCUACCUGCUGCGUGUUGGUGAUGACGAAACCGACUAAAGGCGAAUUAGAUGACGAAGUGAAGGAGAAAUUGCAGUCGGAGUACAACCAAGUUGCAUCUGAAGUUGUUGAGAUGGCAUCCUCCAUGUUCUAAAACACACCAUGGAAAAAAAAAAAAAAUAAAAAUAAAAAAAUAGAAAAAAAAGGACCGAAUUCAUGCCACAUCUGCAAGAAGUAUGCUUUAUUUGAUUUCACUUUGUCUUGUUCUAUGUAACGGCUAGUGGGAUAUUAUUGGUUGUUCCGGUUGAUUUAGUUUACCUGUUGGACAAUUUAUAACUGGGGUGUAUGAUGUCAAACUCCUUUAUUUUAAGUUCUAUUUCGUUAAAGAAGAAAAGAAUAGGAAAAGUUAAAACGAAAGAAAAUACCUUCAAACUAGCAAUCAUAAAUUCCAAAAUAUUAUAUUUUGCAAAUAACAAAUUUAAACGGAUUGAGUCUUAAAAGAGAAGGGAAUCAUUUUGGGAGAAUCAAAAAAAAGGUGGGGCAAGAGAGGCCAAGUGUGUUGCAUGCAUAUGGACAAAUUAUACUAUUCUUUCCCGCAAUACUUUUUAUUAUUAUUUACAUAAAAAAGAGGACGGGAAAGGAAAAGAAAAGGAAAAGGAGAGGGGCAUCCUAACAAAGAUAUGCACGCAGAGUCCUCGAGUUUCCAACCCCUCUUUCCUUUUCUCCCACCAACCAAAAGCAAGAUGGGGAAUGUUGUCAUUCUCUUGGGAUUAAACCAUGGUUAAAGGAUGAGUAAACACUAAUUUUAUCCCAAAUGAUAAUUUAAAUUUCUUGUUUAGUAGGUCACCGUGCACACGUCUGUUCUGCUUGAAACAGCAUUCGAAUCGAAUCUCACAGUCCAAAGUGGAAGUUACUGGCUAACUGCUUUAGUAAGUGGUGGUGGUAUACCUGAAUGCGUGUUCACUGUAAUGUGAUUCUAUGUUUUAGUAGAGUCCUUUUUGAAAGUUAAAGGGCCGAGAUUCUUAAGAGUGCGUAGUUAGAUUCCAACCUCCUUAUCAAGUUAAAUUCUUUAGCAAGAAAGUUUGGACCAAACAAGUGGCCCUUGCAAUCUCACAACAGUUGUUUCAAUGUUUAAUAAAGCACUUUUGGUGAACCGAGAGAAUAUCUUAAUUGUCUCUCCCAACUCUCAGAGAUAGCUAGUUCUAUGUAGAUGUAGAUUCACUCUCUAAUUAGUUUAUUUACAUAUGCCCCAAGUGGAAAUUGUCCAAGUGGAGAUUUUGAGUGAUUGUGGUAAUUAAUUUAUAUUUUAUAAGGCUACAUAGAUAAUGGGGAUCAUAUAUAAAGUUUAAUUUAUUCUGGAGUAUUUUCUUUUUUUUGCAGAUAAUUAAUUGUGAAGCAUAAAUAGAAGGACUAUAUGUGGGGAAGAAAAACUUAAAAACACUGGAACCAUGUAACUUUUUUAUUAAUUUAAAGCCAAAAAAAAAAAAAAUAAUAAUCAGAGUAUGGCUUGCAUGUGAAGGCACAAUAGAAUAUGUUCAAGGGGACUGUAACUACUGUAUCAUAAUCUUGAACUAAGACUGAUGUGCCUGUUGUUUGCCUACUUUUGACCUCUAACAAAUGCAACCAAUCAUGCCAAUGAUGAAGCUUGUAAGAUAAUCAAAUGAAAAUCUAAGGGAGAUUAAUAAUGAAUCAUUACAAUUACCAUAUAUGAAAUGAGAAAAAAAAUAGUAAUAACUUUACAAAAAUAACAAAAUUCCUUCAACCAUUAAUCCUAAACAAAGUAUUGUAAGUGUCCAUCUUAAUUAUUUAUAUUCCCAUUUCUUAAAGUAGUAUAUUAUAUUUAAUUACCAAUUGAUACAUGUUUAAUUCCACAUAGCAUCUUCUAUAAUACUUAAAAAAUUACAGUGUUUCUCCUUAAUAGUCGAGUUUUUUUUAUUUUUUUUAAUUUCAGCCAUAAUGUUUUAGCCCGACGUUAGGUAAAAAAGCUAGAAAGAUAAUAUGGUAUCAUAUAUGUAAAAUGACUUGUUGUUCUCUUUCUCAAAAAAAAAGACUUCUUGUUCUAACUCUGAGAUACCACCAUGCCACAAAACUGUAUAAAUUUUUAUUUUAUUUUUAUAUAAUAACAAUAAAUAUAUACAGUAAUAGAUAUACAAGAAAUGUUAUUUGUACACCUAUCUGAUGGGUAUAAAAUUUAUACUCAGGUUAAGUUUUACUUGCUAAAUUUUUUUAAAAAGUCAGAACUCUUAAUAGAUCAUAGAGUAUUGAAAUUUUAUAAUAAAGUGUAAGACCCUGCUUGGUUCAGAAAUAAAGUGGAGAUAAUGAAAAUUACUAUUCCGCCAGCGAUAUAUUUUUCGACCGAAAUAUUUUAUUUUGGUCAAAUUUUGCUAUUCUCGGUUAUCCUAGGAUAAUUCGAGAAAAACUAUUCCGCCCUUCUGGUGCAAUAGCACUAUUUCAAUAUUUAAUUCCAAAUUUUAUUAAGAUUAUAAAUUUUAAGGUAAAUUAUAUAGACACUGUAUAUUUAUAUCAUAAUAAAUUAGUUUUAUUAUGAAACUUAAUAACUCUAUAUAUUAAUAUAUAUUAUUUGUAAUUAAAUAUAACAAUAAAUUAUACUUAAAUUUUAUAAUUAAAUGUUUUAUUAGUAUAUUUUAUAGUAAAUUAUUUCUAUUAAAUAUUACAAUAAAUUAUGUUUAUAACAAAUCAUUUUCAUUAAAUUAUUUUUUUUAUCAAAAUCAAUCCUCGUAUUUUCUAAAUUUUCUACUAUUUCAUAAACUAAUCAAACGUAAUUUAAUUAUUCUUGAAAAUAACAGUAACCAAAUUAUAGAAAAAUAAAUUAUUUCAAAGAUAAAAAAAAUUUAUCUAAUAUUUAUUUUUCUUUGAGAGAUAGAUAGCACGCUACUCGCUUCGUUUAUUUUAUUUAAAAAUAAACUUAGCUGAAAAUGUGAAUCUAGCUACGAUUUAAAAUUGAGACCUCCGAUACCAACCAUCAAACAUUUUGCCACUUACUCUAGGAACAGUCAAUAAUUUAUCUAAUAUUUAUUUUUGUCGAUGUAUUGUAUAUUUGUAUACACUCCUCCCCUCCCAAACACGAGGAAUUCUACACUGUCACACUUGCACCACGUCAUCAAUAACAAGCCAAUCACAUUCCUUCUUUUUAAACAAAAGUACAAUAAAAAUACUUUUUUACAAUCAUGAUGGGACAUAUAUUCUUAAAAUAAUUAAUUUGAUUGAUUUGUUACGCCACGUCACUAAUAUACCCGUUGCAUUCUAGAAUUUUUCCCCAAACACUUGCUAUUUCAGAUUAAGGAACAUUCCUUCCU
RNAcentral lists this long non-coding RNA (84502 nucleotides) under Ananas comosus (pineapple). RNAcentral's name for it is "long non-coding RNA (ACOM_LNC011112)". Lineage: Eukaryota; Viridiplantae; Streptophyta; Magnoliopsida; Poales; Bromeliaceae. The record is from RNAcentral.